This 53209-nucleotide long non-coding RNA is filed under the name Manihot esculenta (cassava). RNAcentral describes it as "long non-coding RNA (MESC_LNC006739)". Lineage: Eukaryota; Viridiplantae; Streptophyta; Magnoliopsida; Malpighiales; Euphorbiaceae. The record is from RNAcentral.
GGGCUUAGAAAGUUUCUUUGGGUUGAUAGACCCGAGUGUGAUCCAUCUGUGGCAGAGUCAGUCUGUCGAUUCAGUUCAGAGUUUGGUACGAGUAGUGGAUGCAAUCCAGCUGACCUUAUGGUUCUAGAGUUGACUAGUGAUGUCAAUCUAGGGCGGAUUGGCUAGCUACUCGAGGUACUACCUAAGUCUGCAAUGACAAGGUAGGAGGAGAGUUCAGAGUUCAGAGGCUCGGAUGGAUCAGAGUUAGUCCUUAGAGGGGACAAUAUAGCAUACCCAGAAGUUUGAUAUCAGCCCUACAGACUCGUGCAUUCUUUAGGCAGGGUAAUCAGGGGUUUUCUUGCUCUUGUUUGAGAGCAGAAUAGCCAGGUCAGGGAACCAGCCUCAGUACGCAUAGACAGAAAAAGAGAAAGAGAGUUAUAUGUGUUAUCCCAGACAAACUAUCAGGAUUACCAAUAGAGUCUGGACGUGAAGUGAGGAUGGAGACUAGACUCAUCUUCACCUCUUCCUACGAACAGUUGAAAAAGUUGUAAGAACGAGAAAAGCAGUUGCGUAAGUGAGAAGAUAGUAGAGCAGUGUGAACUUGGUAGCGAAGGAUUCUAUCCGACUUAGUACUACACACCCUGGAAUGUACCAGUGUCGGUGUAAGAACGGAAGGAGGAAACCUUGAGACGUUGUCACAGCUGUGAGCAGUUGUACAAGGUCACUACCAAGGACAGGUAUUCCCACGCAGGAAUAAUGCUCGGUGGAGACAGCUAAUGGGAGCUGAUUAUCCUCCACGAUCAAUCUAAAAGGGGGGAACGAGAUGUUGAGACUGGAGACUGAGAGAGAGAGCGGUAAAAACAAAGAAAAGAAGAGCCAGUAUAGGAACGAAGAAGAAAGGCGGGCAAAGAUCAGAGUGGCGCAGCAAAAGCGUAGAAUAGUUCAGAAACAUAGAGAAGCAUGCCCAGUAUCUACUAAGUGUUGUAGAUAAGAGAACACGGCAUAGAGGCCAAGUUCUGGAAUAUGAGUUUGUGACGUGUCACAAUACGAUUUCUACAGUAAGUAGAAAGUUGACGCGGGGUAGCUAACAUUUCCUUAGAGUUAGUGCUCCUCUGCUCGGGUUGAAUAAAAAGAAGCAAAGGUGAGUGUAACCAGAGUAGUGUAAAUAGAGCUGAGAAAAGGUAAAGAGAAAGAAAAGUCAGUAGGGAGCAAAGAGAGUCAAAUGGACUGUGUCCAGACAGGAGUGAUCAGUAAUCAGUGUAGCGUGUGGACACAGCUUAAGCAGUUAAGGGUCAGCAGAGUCAGACAGGAUAGCCAACCCGGGAGUUUUACUCCAGGGGUAUCUGUGCCUCUUCGUAGAGAACGAUGUGAGGCUUUCUUUAAUUGCUUGUUUCCCUGUAUGUUUAUUGUGUGAACAUUCGAGGACGAAUGUUCUUAAGGGGGGAAGAAUGUAAUACCCGGCAGAUUCAGACAUCGGAAUUUCUACCGUCCGGUGGAAUUCGAGGAUGUCAGAGGUUUCUCGAAGGGUAAGAGAAAGGUUUUCUAAAAUAUUUUUACGUAUUGGAAAGGUUUAGAAUGAAAAAUGAUUGAGUUUUGAAGAGAAAAGGCUUAGGGGACAAAGGCCAGGUUCGACUGCCGAAGGUAAGUUCGGCCGCCGAAAGUGCCCAAUGUUCGGCCCCCGAAGGUUAUGUUCGGCCCCCGAAAGUUGCAUGGUUUUGCAUGCAGUUUCGGCAGCCGAAGCUGAGGUGGUCGGUUAGUUGUGCACGCUCCUCAGUCCGUGGUUUGGCCAGGUGUUCACCUCCAGAGCAUGACCAGAGGUUAGGCCACGUCUCCCUUGACUCAUCUGCAAGCUUUUAUCAGCUCGUGCAGAGGGUUGAGUAUGUUUCAAAGCGUUUUGAAGGGUUGGAGAGAAAAGAGAGGUUUUGGUGGUUUGAAGCUUGUGAAGGGGAUUUGCUGAGUUCAAGUUGUUCCUCUUCUAGUUUCAGGAGGUAAGAGAGUUGUUCCUCUUCUUGUUUUAUUGGUUUUAACAGUUUGUACAAAGGAUAAGGGUAGAGUUGCUGAUAUAGGUUCGUUUUAGUGUUGUCAUGGUUUAUACAUGAUUAGGUGUAGUUUUGAUGUUUUAAUGGUGUAAGCAUGUUAUGUGUAUNNNNNNNNNNNNNNNNNNNNNNNNNNNNNNNNNNNNNNNNNNNNNNNNNNNNNNNNNNNNNNNNNNNNNNNNNNNNNNNNNNNNNNNNNNNNNNNNNNNNNNNNNNNNNNNNNNNNNNNNNNNNNNNNNNNNNNNNNNNNNNNNNNNNNNNNNNNNAGGGACACAGAGAGUAUAGUCGGCUUGCUACGGGUCCCGGCGGCCUUAAGCCGAUCUGGAUCCUAGUGCCAGUGAUGGUUCAGACCGUUACUGAGGGGUACCGGUUUUCGGGUCGUUACAGUGUCGAAGAUGUUAAGUGCAUGCAAACAUUCCAAGGACCCCAAGAGAAAUGUAAGCAGCAAUUGGAAGCCCCUCGUCCUUCUUUCAGUGGAGGAUAGACAUCUUUGGCCCAUUCCUUAAGGGAUCUGAGUUAAGGAAGUUCAUAAUCAUGGCAAUAGAUCAUUUUAGCAAAUGGGUUGAGUUUGAGGCAGUGCAGUCCAUCACUACCCAACAAGCGAUCUCCUUCAUCAGCAAAAACAUCUUCACUUGAUUCAAAAUCCCAAAGCUAGUGGUCACUGAUAAUGAAAAUCAGUUUGUAAGUUUCAACUUUAAGGACUUCUGUAAGAAAUAGAAAAUUGACUUGAGAUUCAGCUCAGCUUAUCACCUCCAGACCAAUGGAAUGACCGAGGUGAUAAAUAGAACCAUCCUACAAGAGCUCAAGAAAAGGCUCGACCAAGACAAAGACAACUAGCCCGAGGAGUUACCUCACAUACUAUGGGUAUACAGGACCAACCCUAGGAUAGCUACAGGAGAAAUGUCCUUUUAUCUUGUAUAUUGGACUAAGGCAGUCGUCCCUAUGGAAAUCCAAGUAAGCAGCUUCGGGACACAACACCCUGAAAUUUCAGGAAAUCCUAAAGAAAUACCAUUCAAUUUGGACUAAGUUGAAUUCCUACGAGAAAAGGCCAUAAUCAAAAUGACGAUUUACAGAAAUAAAAUAUCUAGAUUAUUCAACAGUAAGGUUAGGCUGCAUGCUUUUAAUGUGGGGGACCUAGUCCUUAAAAGAACAGAUAUAACAAGUGGUAGUGCCGGGUUUGGUAAGUUGAAUGAGAACUAGAAAUGACCAUUUAGGGUCUCAAAGGUCAUUCGCCCAGGGUCCUAUAACCUAGCCAAAUUAGAUGGCCAAGUCAUUCCCCAUACUUGGAAUAUAUGUAAUUUGAGAAAAUUUUAUCAAUAACAAGUUAAUGAGGUAUUUUUUCACAUGUUGUGUUUUUCAGCAAUAAGAAACGAUAGGAUUGCCUUCCUCAAAAAGUUUAAAGAGACAAGAAGAGGCCAUAAGGUGAAUUCUGCUAAGCCAGGCCACAAGGUGGAUUUUGCUAGACCACUAUCUAAGUGUCGGUCCCACUCAACAAUGCCACAAGCCAGGUUUCACCAGAUUAGGUCAUAAGGCGGAUUUCGUCAAACCAUAAUCUAGGCAUUGGUUCCACUAAAUAAGUUAUUAGGCAGGUUAUGGGUUCCGCUAGACCACAAUCUGAGCAUUGGUCCCACUAAAUAAGGCCACAAUGCGAGUUCUGUUAAGUUAAGUCACAAGACGGGUUCCACCAGAUCACAAUUCAGGCGUUGGUCCCGCUAAUCAAGUUAUUUAUGCCAUGCCACAAGGAGGAUAUACCAAUCCCCAAAAAAUAAAUGUGCCAAUCAAAGAUUAAUGUCGAUGAGGUGAGUCUUGUGAGCGAGUCUCAAGACGAGUGGCCGAGUGAAAGUCCCUUAUGGAAAACUUUCCCCAAGGCAUUUUAUAAUUGGAAGGCGGGAGUUCGCUAGGCUACAUACCCAAGUAUUAAUCUUGUUUUGUAAAAGUUUAGACUUAAAGCAUCCGGGUCUUCUUUUCCCUCGGUGGAACUGAGUAUCAUCUUAUCAAACUCUUACCAUAUGGCCUUAUCUUUGAGUGCCAACACAUGGUCUGCUUUGGGCAAUUAUCAUACUACAUCAGAAGUCCCCCUACUGGUCUUUAAUUCUUUAGAUUUGAAGGUGACAAUUGUCUUCAUGUUCUGAGGCACGUAGCUUGUUCAGACUAGCCUUUCAUGUUCGCAUCGCUUUGUCCAAUAAUUGCUUUAUUUUCAUUUUUAAUACGAAAUCUUUCCUUCUAUACUCUUUGUCAUUAUUUUCGCAAAGUGUUCAUAUGCUCGAUACUCGAUUAUAACCCUCGUCCGCCCAUAGCUAAAUAAGAUUUUAAAUCUCUUUAAAAGUUUUGUUAAGGGGUUAACACCCGACCAAGCACCUGGCAGCAUCUGCUUUUUGCCAUAAAAUAAUUUUAAACUUUUCAAUGGGACUUAAUUACCCCUUAUGACUCGCCUAGUGGGUACCUUGUGGCUAUGGAAUAAAUAACUUAGAAAAAAUAACAAACUUAAUUUAACACUUGGUCAUGAUAACGACUUAAAGGAUUUUAUUAAUCGGGACUGAUACCCGGUCAUUAGCCUGAUGGAUACAUGCCUUGUGGUUCUUUUUUACGAAAACUUACCUUUGCCUUUUGGGACUAAAAUUCAAAGACUCGUCUGAUGGUUACCCGCCUUGUGGUGCUCUUUGACAGAAAUUUUGCGUUUGUCUUUUUUAGCUAACACUCGAAAACUUGCAUGAAAGUUAUCUGUCUUUUGGCCUGAGCAUAAAAUAUCUUAGAAACUUUUUAUGAAAUGAGACUAACAUCCAAUUGUAUGGCCUAGUAGAUACCCGUCUUGUGACCUUGGUAUGAAAUGCCAUAGAGACUUUUUUGCGAAACGGGACUAAUACCCAGUCAUGUGGCUUGGCAGAUGCCCACCUUGUGGCCUAGGCAUCAAAUACCUUAGAGACUUUUUUUUUUUUGUAAAAUAAGACUAAUACCCGGUCACGUGGCCCAGCAGAUACCCGCUUUGUGGCUUAGGCAUCAAAUACUUUAGAGACUUUUUUGCAAAACAAGACUAACACCUGGUCGUGUGGCCUGGCGGAUACCCGCCUUGUGGCCUAGGCAUCAAAUGCCUUAUUUAGUAGGACUAACACCCGGAUUAGGUGGCCUAGCGAAUACUUGCCUUAUGGCAUGGCAUAAACUGCCUUGUCUGGCGGGACUAAUACUCGGAUUAGGUGGCCUGGCGGAUACUCGCCUUUUGGCCUGACAUCAAAUUUCUUAUUUAACAGGACUAACACCCGAAUUAUGAUCUGGCAGAACCCGUCUUGUGGCCUGACAUAAGAUGCCUUGUUAAGCAAGACACCCAAAUUAGGUGGCCUGGCAAAUACCCGCCUUGUGGUAUGGCAUCAAAUGCCUUGUUUAGUGGUAUUAACACCAAGAUUAUGGCCUAGCAGAACCUGGCUUGUGGCCUGGCAUAUAAUACCUUAUUUAGCGGGACUAACAUCUGGAUUAUGGAUUGGGAGAACUCGCCUUGUGGCCUGGUAUAAAUUACCUUAUUUAGCGGGAAUAACACCCGGACUAGGUGGCCUAGCGGAUAUCCGUCUUGUAGUCUGAUAUACAAUGCCUUGUUUGACGGGACUAACAUCUGAAUUAUGGCCUGAUGAAACCCACCUUGUGGCCUAGUAUAAAAUACCUUGUUUAGCAAGACUGACACCCAGAUUAGGUGGCCUGACAAAUACUUACCUUGUGGCCUAAUAUAUAAUGCCUUGUUUAGCGGGACUAACACCUGGAUUAUAGCCUGGAAAAACCUGCCUUGUGGCCUUAGUUUUGCUUUUGACUCUUCCUCUUGUCCUCUCUCAACCUUUGAACUUUAUCAUCCAGCCUUCUAUACUUCUGGGCUUUAUCUAUUAGUUGUUGGUAAGUAGCGGCUGAGUUCUUGAUUAGAGAAUCCAUUAACUUAAUGUUGCACAUUUCUUUUUUCAACACUUCACAUGCUAUCUCAUGUUUUAAUCCUUCCACCUGUAUUGCUUCUGUAUUGAAACGUGAAAUAAAACUUCUUAAAAAAUCGCCUUCUCCUUGGCGGAUCUUCCGCAAGUGAGAGGAGAGCAUUUUAGGAGGUAUGCAAGUGAUAAAUCAAGAUUUAAAUAACAUAGCAAAUUGUAUAAAGUUCUGAAUUGAACCUGAGCUCAAAUGUUGGUACCAUUUAUGAGCCAAACUUGCGAAUUUGACGAAAACACUUGGCACAACACAACAUCGUUAGCAUCUUGAAGCUGCAUUGUCAUCCUAAAGAUCACCAGGUGACUUCUAGGAUAUGCUAUUCCAUUGUAUUUAUCUAAGCUUGGCAAUUUGAACUUGGAGGAAAAAAUAUUUACUAAGAUCUCUUCUAAUAGGGGUGAGGCAUCAUCCAACCCGUAAUCCUCCUCCUGCUCCUUCUAGUACCUUUGGACGGCCUGUAUCAGCUUCCAAUCGACGUCCUUUGGAGCAUCGUCUGAUGACUCCUCUUCCUUGAACUUGGCCUUCUCUUUAGACCGCAUUUGGAUUGUCUCUGUUUGAGUCAUUGGGGUAUCAACGGAGGCUUCUUCCCUUCCCCUGUGAGCCAUGAAUGAUGCCUCCUUCUGAGAUUUGUGUUGCUCAAGAGUAGCCUGCAACAUUUUAAUAUAUUGGAGUAUUUUUCUCAUUAUUCAAAUUGUUGAGAUCUGCUUCAUUGACCAUAAAGGAUGUAUUUUAUCCACUAUUAGGAGUAGAAGAAAUGAUAGUGUCCUCAUUGAUAGCAACCUUAGUAGCAGUUCAUGAAUUGCCAGCCAUUUCGAGAGAGAGAAAAGAGAGAAAGGAAAUAUAAGGCUGAUUCUAAUCUAAAUGAACAGAGAGAAUUCAAUAGGUUUCCUGAGAACGGAACCAAAUAAUGUGGCUGAAACGGAGUUGUGCUGCGAUUGGUCACCCUGCAAGAAAGAGAAUGUGAGGUGGUUGGCACUUACAGUAGCCACUCCAAUACUCAAGUCAGUCGAUGGAAGAAAAUGGUGAGUUUAAUGUAAUUGCUUAGAAUUCAAAAGUAGUUGUGUAAGAAUUAUGUACUUUUGUCUCUGUAAUAAUUAGUUUUUAUACUGUAAGAAAAUGAAGUUAAUUAUUUCAUCUCCUGAAAAUCCUAUUAGUACCGGCUAAUUGCUAGGAGAUCCCUUGAUUAUAGGCGUAAUGAGAUCUGCUGGAUUGCGCUCUCUAACAGUAACUUCCUGUGAACCUCGCUCCGUAGUAUUGACAAAGAGUUUAGACCUAAAGCGUCUAGAUCUUCUUUUUUCCUCAGUAGAGCCGAGCUGAUAAGACUCUUACCACGUAACUCUAUCUUUAAGUAACAGCACAUGAUCUGAUUUUGGCAAUUAUUGUGCCAAUUUAAUUUAUGACUAUAAUUUAUUUCUUAUUUAAUGGACUUAGCCAUGUUGUGUUUAUUAGAUUAUACAUUUUAUAUCAGUUAGCGUAGAUAUGACAUAUAAUUCAUUUUCAAAAUAGGAAGAAUAAAAAAGUAUAAAAAUAGAGUUAUUAGUUCUUAGAAAUAUAUUGUUCGAAAUUAUUAGUAAAUAAAAAAAUUAAAAAAUUAAACUGAAUUGAAAUAAUAAUUUUAAGUAUAUUUAUUUUUUUAAAAAAAAUAAAGUGUAAUUUUAAGUAUAUUUAUUUUUUAAAAAAAAUUUAAAGUAUAAUUAUUGAAAUCGAUAAAAUUUAUUUUUUUUUACAAUUAUUCCUUUUGAAUAAUAUUAAUAAAUUAAUUUAGAACAUUAAUUAAAUUUAACUGUUCAAUUUAAUGAUAAGAUAUAGAUAAAUUUAAAUGUAUAAUUUACAUGAAUAAUUCACAUGAAUAAUUCAGAAAAUUUUGUCAUUAUUUUAAAUUUGAAAUAUAAAUUUUAAAUUAAUAAAUUAUUUUAUUAAUAAAAUAAAAAUUCCAAGACUUGAAAAUAUUGAUUAUUAAAAACGUAAUAAAGAAAAAAAAAACUCAUUUCAAAGGAAAUAGCAAAUAUGAAAAUUAGGGUGGGUAUAUAAGAAUGAAAUAAUUUAUUUUGUUGCAUUAUGAUUAGUUUGAAACAUAGCGACUACAUUUAAAUAAAUUAGAAUUACAGCACUUUAUUUAGAAAUACACACAUUGUCUUUCCAUCCAUUAAUAAGUAAAUUAAUUUCUACCCAUUUUAAACUGUAAGUACCUCUCUACAUUAUCCACCCCACACAGCUCCUUCACAAUAGGCAUGGUGGCAGGGACCUUCAAGUGGAAUGUUGAAUAAGAACUCUGUAGGCAACCCCAUGAAUAGAGCUGCUUUCGUGCUUCUCUAAUGGCAGCUUUUGUAGCACAGUGAACUGAUGCUGCUAGGAGUAAUGGUGGCUCACCGGAGGCUACAUAAAAGCAUAUAUUAUUCAACAACUAAGGUUGUCUUUAGUAGGGCAUACGUUUAUAUACGCACACAUAUAUCCAGCUAUACGUUGCGUAAUAAUUGUAGACAAACUCAUAUAAGCAGAAAAAUGACAGUUUCAUGCAGAUGGCAUUCUGUGUUCAUAACAGGAAAAAAAAAAGAAAAAUUACUACUUAGUCCUUAUAGUAUGGAGAAACUCACUAAUUGGUCUUUCGGUUUUGAAAAAUGCAUUAAAAUAUCUCUGAUAUUUUAAAAAGUCUACUAGUUAGUCCUUUCAUUAGUUUUAGCCGUUAAAUAUUGCAAAAAAAAAAUCUAAAAUACCCCUGAUACAAGGGACUAAUUAGUAAACUUUUUAAAAAUUUAAGGAACUAAUUAAUAAAAUUUUUUAAAAUCAUAAAAACUAAAUAGUAAAAUACUUAAUGGCAAAAUUAACUAAAAAACUAACUAAUAGCCUUUUUUAAAAUGUUAAGAAUGUUUUAAUGCAUUUUUCAAAACCGAUAAACUAAUCGGUGAGCUUUUCCAUACUAUAGGGACUAAAUAGUAAUUUAAAAAAUAAUAAUUUUUUAAAAAAAUAAUGUUAUUUGAUUCUUCUCUCACAUAAUAGCAUAAGUUAGAUUAUAAAAUAAGAUAUAAAUUUAUUCUCGCUUAAUUAUAUUUGAUAAUUAUGAGAAAACAGAGAGAAAAAAAUCAUGCAAUUUCUAAUAAGCUUAUAACGUUAUGGUCAACAAAUAGUUAUCCAUCUUGCUUCAUUUCCUAUUAUUCAGAUUAGCAAUUUAAACUAUGAAAAUUUAUAUAAAUAUUAAAUAAUGGAUUAUGAAGAAAAAUUUUGAGCUUUGCAUGCAUUAAAAAUUUAUUAUAAGCUAACAAUAUACCUUUAGAAGAAAGAACACGUUUUGGGUUAUGUCCACUGUUAAGUAAUUGGACAUUGAACUGCUUUGGUAUUGUGUCAACUGUAGGGAUCUUAUAUGUCCAUGUGCCUUUUGCUUCUACUAAUCCAUCAGAGUUUGAUGUAUGUUCUUCAAGCAUGAAAAACCCAAUUCCUUGGACAAAAGCUCCUUCAAUCUGCAAACAUCAUAUUCUUUUUCUCAAUGUAAAAGAAAUUUGAACAUAUCUCUCCUUCUUGUGUUAAUUUAGUGAGCAUUGUUUCUAAGAAAUUGGUCAUAGGGUGAGCUAACCUGUCCUAAAUCUACAGCAGGGUUGAGACUUUUUCCACAAUCAUAUAAAAUAUCAGUUCUCAAAAUUGUUGUUUGCCCUGUCAGAAGGUCUACUUCCACCUGUCUCACAAAAGUACAGAAGAUGAUGUUCUUAGUUAGAUGACAAAAACACUUCUAACACUUCUAGAUUAUUCUUGCAUUUUCUUAGUAAAUAAAUGAAAAAAAAAAAAAUCAAAUACUUCUUUUAAGAUCAAAAGCCAAAUAGCAAAUGUGACAAGUAAGCCAAAUAGAAAUUACAUAAGCAAUUAUGCAAUACUUUCAAGUUGGUUACUCACUGCAGUACAAAAGAAAAAAGAAGAAGAAGAAGAAUAAAAACUUGCCUCACUCACAGCAGCACCAUAGUUUAAGUAGUUUGAUGAAGCAAAUUCAGGAGUGAAGAAGGAAUUUAUUGACAAAUUCACAGCUUCCAAAUGUGCCUGCAUUUUAUGUUUAGUACUGUAAAUGCAAUCCAAAGACCUUUCAUAACUAAACAAUAAUAUAUGAUGAAAAUGCAGAUAGCUACCUGUUUAAUAAGCAUCUCCCAGCUUAUUGAAUCCAUUUCCUUCGACAACCUUUCCUUUAAAGGUGUCAGUCUCUCAACCAGUACUUCACAACAAAGUCUGGCUGCUUCACAGCUUGACUCAGAUGAAGUGCUUCCACCAGUUAUCCCUCCUUGGAUUAAACUCAAAGUAUCAGCUUGUAUGACUCGUACUUUAUCCAAGAAGUCUUCUGUUCCUUCACAUUGGAUUGAACUGAGAGCAAAUGCAACCAUUUGUUUCACCUUUGUCCAGAGACCCUGACCCAACUCUAUUCCUCCAACUUCAACAACAAUAGACCCAUCACUUAGAAUGCUAACUUUUCCAGGAGUUGGCCUCACCAUCACAUCAUAUAUACAAGGUAUUCGAGAAACACCUCUUUUUUUCCACACGUUACACCUAUUAAACUCUUUUACAAUUUCAACUCUUUGGUUAAAGUUUGAAGAUAUGGCUAAUUGAUCCCAUAUUGAAAUUAAAGUAUAUUCUAGAGGAUCUCCUGCGCUAACAUCAUAAAAUAACUUAAGGCUAUCAUAUGUGUGAAAAUUUAUGGUCCUCACAGAAUCUGCAUCAAUGGAAAGAAAAGAUGCUACUUGUUCAAUUACAGCUUCUGCAAUAUAUGAUCCUUGCACUUCUCCAGGGCCUCGCAUUGCUGAUUUACUUGACAGGUUUGUUUUGCAUAACUUUAUAUCAAAAGAUAAAGCUCCCCAAUCAUACUUUUUAAGGGCACCCACAAUGGUUUUUGGCAUCAAUGGGCUAAAGUCUAGAGAAAUGCCUGCAUUUAUUAAUAUCUCAAGAUGCAAGGCAGUAAUUUUCCCAUUAGAUUUGAAUCCUACAUUAUAUGUUAUUUUCAUAGGAUGCCUUCCUCCUAUCAUUAUCAUAUCAGUCUUGCGGUUCACAUAUGUCCGAACAGGACGCUGUAGCUUGUGUGCUGCAAGUGCACAUGCUGUGGCAAUCUAAAACAUCAUAUCCAAUAGUUAGUAUAUGCAACAAAUUAAAUAUCAAAGAUCACUCAUUAAAUAAUGUAGAAAGAACACAUCAAUAAUAAUAAGAUGCAUCAUAAGAGCCCUAGACCUAGUUUUAUAUUUCUUAAUAGAAUUGAUUUAAACAUCCAUUUGCAGACCAUAUUGUUAAAUUUUUUCUUGCAUUAUUCCCUAAUGUGAUACAAUACAAUAAAGGGUAACUUUUUUUUCUUAAUGAAAACCAUAGUACAUCAUAAUAAGUGGUUCACAUGCGUACAUUAUGAUCAUGGUUACUGUUGAUGGCUUAGUACUGUGUUCUCUGGUGCUACAAAAUGACUGUUGGUGCUCAAUUGAUGCCUUUGCUAUGGAUUUUGAUUGUUAUGUGGUUAGCAUUUCUUUGGACUGUUGGUUGUCGCAUUGAGUAGCAUCUAUGGAUACUGGACAAUGAUUUUGUUGUGGUAUUUUGAUCAUGGUUAUUGCUGGUGUCCACUAUGUUUGAUAUGGUGCUGCAUAAUUUUUGCUGGUGCUCAGUGUACUGUUCUUUUUGCCUUUGCAUAAGGAUCGACUCUUGGUGCCUUUGUUUCGGAUUUGUUUGGUAAGUGGUGAUAUUAAAUGGACUGUUGGUUGCUGUGCUUGAUGUGGUUUUUGCGCUCUGGCUAUUAGACAAGGGGCUUAGAGUUUUAGCUAUUAAAUAUUUUACUGUUUAAUUCCUAUAGUUUUGAAAAAUUCAUUAAUUAGUUUUUUAAAUUUUUAAAAAAUUUAGUAAUUAUUCUUUCCAUAUCAAAUGCAUUUUAGACUUUUUUAUAAUAUUUAAUUGAAAAAAUUAACGGAAAGACUAAUUAGUGGAGUUUUUAAAAUAUCAAAGAUAUUUUAAUAUAUUUUUUAAAAUAGAAGAAUCAAUUAGUGACUUUUAUGUGUUAUAUAGGCUAAAUAGUUAAUUUUCCAAACUUAUUAUAAACCUUAAAGAUGGUUCAAAAAGGUGAUGCACUAAAUUCUACCUAAAUGAAAUAUUCAACAAUUAUCAAUAUGGGUAGUUCUCCUCCAUUCCACUAGGUAAAGGUUACAGGGCAGUCAAUUAACAAUAUUCUAUUAAAAAUAAAGAAAAAGAGAUUAAAGUCAUGUGUUUAGAGGAAGUCAGCAGAUGCAGUAACUAAACAUUUUGAAGUUUGAAAAAGUUGAAGAUUAAAAGAAAAAAAAAAUUACUCACGGGCGUGGAUCUCAUAGCCUUUCCACCAAAACCUCCUCCGACCCUUCUUGUAAGCACUCGCACAUUAUGUUCAGGAAUACCAAGACAUUUUGCAAUUGCGACCUGUGCAUGCUCAGGGCCUUGACUCGAACUAUAAACCAUCAUGCAGUUGUCUUCAUCAGGAACAGCGAGAGCAGUCUGAUUCUCCAUAUAGAAAUAAUAUUGGGACCCAAGUUUUAUCUGGACAACAUAAUCCAGAAAAAGUAGCCAGUUAGUAAGAAAUAAUAGAGAUAAUACCUAAAAGAAAUUAAUUAAGCAACUUUAGGGUUGUAGAUGUGCCUUUAAGAUGAGAGGAUUCUCCUUAGGUCUUAUUGAGUGUGAAAAAAAAAAAAAAUACCUCAGAAGAGAAAAUCUUAUGAUCAGCUUCAUCCAUUCCCUUAGAUAAAUCUCCUACUUGUUUGGGAUAGAGAGUAGGAGGUACCCCAAAAAGGCUAGACCUCUCCACAGCCUCUUCUUCAGUUAAAAUGGGAGGUUCUAGAUUUUCGACAUCAUAAUCUAUUACUGCAAGCAUUGCUGCUAUAUCUGCAUGUUUUUGUGUAUCUGCAAGCUAUUUAAGAAAAUCAUAUGGUAGACUAGAUUAGGCACAAUAGACACCAAAUUUGCAUAAUUCUCAUAUCAAAAAACACUACAACUAGCAUAAAAGUAGUGGAAGUUGCUAAACAUGACUGCUUGAGUAUGUUACCACAAGUGCAAGUGGCUGUCCUGCAUACUCGGUAAACUCUUCGGCAAAUAAUGGUUCAGGACCAAAAGCAAUUGUACCAAUGUUCUGCCCAUCUUUUGGAAUGUCUUUGAAAGAAAUAAGUGAAUGAACUCCAUCUGGGAGUGAUUUAGAAGUAAAUUCUAUACCCUUUACCCUAGCGAAUGGCUUUGUGCUGUAAAUAAAUGCUCCAUACAGACAAUUUUCAGGGGAAGGAAUAUCAUCCACGUAAAUAGCCUCACCUACACAAGUUGUUAAAUUACCAAGUUAAUAGCUUAUUGGUAUUAUGAAUCAACAAAACUAUUUCUAAUUUACAACAAGCCAAGACAAAAUGUUAGCUACAAAUACAAACUAUUGAGAUAAUUUAUGUUAGAACUAACCAGAAGCUUGAAGAGCAGAUCCAGAUUUGGUAAUUGGCUCACCAAUGGGAUGAUAGUCUUUGUUUAAUUGGAUCACCUGUUUGGAUGACGACAGCAUUGUUGGGAAUUUAAAAUGAUCUAGAUUGUCAUAUUUCUCCUUCGAGUUGACAUCCUCAGACGUUAAAUGACCAUUAUAGCCAUUCAGCAAGCUAUUAGGAUUGCUAUCUACUAACAGGCCAAGAAAAUCAAAAACAAAGCUAACUGCCAAACUUGACCUAUAUGCAGGUUCUGGAGUCCCAUCUUCAGGUACCACAGCAGCUUUGACCAAUUUAAUAGCUUCAUAAAGGACAGAAGUGCUUAACAAUUUUCCAGUUAAAAAUUCCUCAACUUUCCUUGCUUUAAUUGCAUGUUUGGUUCCAAAAGCACCAAAUGCAAACUGACAACUAUUCAACACAUAUCCACUGGAUGAUGAUCUUGAGGAAGAAACUUCAGCCAAGAAAGCAGCAUUCAGAUAAGGCAAAGCAUUUCCAAGGGGCCGUGGUGCUGCUCUAUAGGUUUCAAAUAAUAACUUGCUAUCUCUUUCAGGAUUAAUAGAUUCACAAUUUGGGAUUCUAAAACUUAUGAGUACACUUUUAGAAUCCAUGGGAGGCCUUUCCAAGAACUCCUCCAUGGAAAGCUUUUCAUGCACGGCGCCAUUUAUUAUAUGAACAAAUGAACCAGUAGCAAGAAGUAUUGUGGCAAUAUCUGAAGGAAAAUGUUUUCCUUGUGCCAUCACCAAAUUUCCACCAAUGCUACCUGUAUUUCUAAUAAAUUUGGAAGCAAUUUUCUCCAUAUGGUCUGCAAUUUUAUUGAACACCAUUUUACUUGUUGGGGUAAAUUCAUCUUUAUUUCCUUCCCUCAAAGCUUCAAUAGUUUUAGAAAUAGUCACAGCUGCCCCAAUUUCGAUCCCCGUAUGAUCCCUCCAAAUCGCUGAGAGUUCAGGAAUAUACCUGAGAUCAAUGUAUCUGUCAUAUUGUUCCAGUUCCUUAAAAUACCCCAUGCCAGUGUUACCAACCACCAGCUUUGUUCGGACUCCAUUGUUGGCAUCAGAGCACUUUAACAAGCUCUGAAGAUCCUUCAAGCUAGAUGGUUGGUGCCAAGAACUUCUAUUAGAAUCUAUAAUCAAGGAAGCUUUGAUUUCCUUUUUGAAAGCUGCAGGAAAAGCGCAGAUCUCAUUAUUAUGAUUGUACGAAGGUAACCUACUUAGAUUUAUUUCCUGCUUAUCUCCCUCCUUCCAAAAACAAUUAAAGCCCAAAUCCUCCAUAUCUACUUCAGCUGCAAAACUUUUGCUUGCAUCAACAAUGGGUCGAUAUCCUGUACAACGACAAAGAUUUCCAGCAAUAGCCUCUUCAGCUUCAAUUACUGUGAGCUUGGAAAAUCCUGGGGAGGGUUCAGGUCGAUCCGUUUUGUCAGCAUUGACAAGGGCCCCAAAAAGGGCCAUGCACAUUCCAGGAGUACAGAAGCCACAUUGAGAAGCAUGGAAUCCAGAGAACCUUUUGUGAAUUGAAUGGAAACCAACUCUGCUAUUACCCAAGCCUUCAGUUGUUGUUAUUGAACAUUGAUUUAUGCUACAAACUAGUGUGAGACAUGAACUUGCUGUAAAAUCCUCAACUUUGUCAAGCAAUGAAUCGUACUUGGAGAUCAGAACAGUACAAGCACCACAACCGCCUAAAAUCAUGAACUAGAAUUUAGAAUAUAUAUUAAAGACAAAGGCCAUUGUUCUUACUGAAUUAACUAUAUUUUUUUAUUUAUAUGAAAUUGGAUGCAAAGUGUUUUUUUUUAUAAAAGUGUAAAAAUAAUUUGUUAAUAGAUGUCAAUCCAUAAAAAAAUAAAAUCUAUUACUUUAAUUAUAUUAAUUAUUUAUAAUCUACACUAUAUAUAUAAAAGUGUAAAGAGAGAAUAUUAAGAUUUCUUUUAAUUAUAAUUUUAUUUUUUAAAAUUUUUAAUUUAAUUAUUUAAUUAUAUUAGUAUUCUAUUUAAAUUUAAAUUGAUUGAUGAAAUCUUUUAAUGUUUAAACUAUAGUUGAUUAAAUUUUAACAUAAAAAAUUAUCUUAAUAUUUAAAUUAUUUGUAUUGAAAUUUCAUCAUAAAGUUAAACUAUUUUUUAAAAAAAUAAUUAAAAUUUAUUAUUAUUAAAAAUUUUUUAAUUUAAUUAUAUUAUUAGUCUAUUUAAAUUUAAAUUAAUNNNNNNNNNNNNNNNNNNNNNNNNNNNNNNNNNNNNNNNNNNNNNNNNNNNNNNNNNNNNNNNNNNNNNNNNNNNNNNNNNNNNNNNNNNNNNNNNNNNNNNNNNNNNNNNNNNNNNNNNNNNNNNNNNNNNNNNNNNNNNNNNNNNNNNNNNNNNNNNNNNNNNNNNNNNNNNNNNNNNNNNNNNNNNNNNNNNNNNNNNNNNNNNNNNNNNNNNNNNNNNNNNNNNNNNNNNNNNNNNNNNNNNNNNNNNNNNNNNNNNNNNNNNNNNNNNNNNNNNNNNNNNNNNNNNNNNNNNNNNNNNNNNNNNNNNNNNNNNNNNNNNNNNNNNNNNNNNNNNNNNNNNNNNNNNNNNNNNNNNNNNNNNNNNNNNNNNNNNNNNNNNNNNNNNNNNNNNNNNNNNNNNNNNNNNNNNNNNNNNNNNNNNNNNNNNNNNNNNNNNNNNNNNNNNNNNNNNNNNNNNNNNNNNNNNNNNNNNNNNNNNNNNNNNNNNNNNNNNNNNNNNNNNNNNNNNNNNNNNNNNNNNNNNNNNNNNNNNNNNNNNNNNNNNNNNNNNNNNNNNNNNNNNNNNNNNNNNNNNNNNNNNNNNNNNNNNNNNNNNNNNNNNNNNNNNNNNNNNNNNNNNNNNNNNNNNNNNNNNNNNNNNNNNNNNNNNNNNNNNNNNNNNNNNNNNNNNNNNNNNNNNNNNNNNNNNNNNNNNNNNNNNNNNNNNNNNNNNNNNNNNNNNNNNNNNNNNNNNNNNNNNNNUUAUUAAACUACCCUUACAGUUGAAAAUAAAUAUUUUUAAAUAUCUAUUUAAGAGAUUUGUCUUCUUCAUAUAUUCUCAAUAAAAGCAUUUAUUUUCUAAAGGUAUUUAAAAUUUUGUCUUCAAGUUCUACAUUAGUAAAUUUUCUCUAAUAAUGUUGAUUAAGUGUGUUCACUUUGAUAAAAGUUUUAAGUCCCUGUUGAAACUCAGAUAAAAAUUUGAGAAGUGAUUUAAAUAUGUAAAGAUCUAUGAGUAUUAGAAAAAAUUUAUUUGUAUAAAAAAUUAUUCUCUUGUCUACGUAAAAGAGAUAGAGUGGAAUAAAGACUUAAAGGAAAAUCCUGGGAGAGCUGUAUUUGACGAACCUCAUCUCUUUGCCUCCGGUCCUCAAUAUUAAAUUAAUACUAAUGAGAAUGUGCUGAAAUUAACUUAUUAAUUUUAUUUCUACUUUAUAACAUGUUUAUUUAAUCAGUGUCAAUUGUGUUUAAUAAUUUUAUAAGCUUAAAUUUUUUAAUCAUUUAUUUUAAAUAAACACGUAUCUACAAUCAAAAUUAACGGUAACAAUUCAUUAAAACUUAAAAUAAAAAUUGAAAAAUUAAUGAAAGUGAUCAACGUCUCUUGCUCACAUAAUUUGCGACAAGAAGAUUGUUAAAAUAUCUUUAUAUAUGGUUUUGAUCAUUUAUAAACUUUUUUAAUUUUUAUUAAAAUCUUUAAUUUUAUUGGAUAAUUAUAUUAAUUUUCCAUUUAAAUUUAAACUGGUUGGAGAAUUAUUUUAAUAUUUAAAUUCUAUUUAACUAAAUUUUAUAAAAAGUAACUAACUAAAGUUUUAAAAAUUUACAUUUAAAACCAUAAAAAUACUAAUAUCUGUAGUGACUGAUAUUUGAAGUUGUCGUUAUGAUAAAGUCUAGCUCGCGGCUAAGACUUUUUUGCUAUAAUAAAUCCGUGGCUAAUAUUUUUUUGGUAACAAAUAUAUAUUUGAUAAAUUGAAUUGGCAUAAAUUUUAUUUUUAAUAUUAUGAUAAAUAAAUAGAACAAUAAUAAUAAUAAAAAUAUAAUAAGUAAAUUUAAAUGAAUUCAAAUUUUCUAAUAAUUUUAUAUUUUUAUGACUAUGUUAAUACAUAAAUUUAAAUUUUUUAAUUUAAAAUUUACUAUAUGACCUAUAAAUAGAAGUUUUAUAUUUAUAAUUUAAUUUAUUUUUUAAGUUUUGUGAAUUUUUGUACAUUUGUACUUAAAAAAACUAAUAAUGCAAAAUGUUGCACAUUAAAUACAUAACAACAAAAUAUAUGUUAAAUUUUUGUUAAUACAAAUAAGAAAAAAGUUUAAAUUGAAAAUUGAAAAAUAAUAUAUAUUUGAUCAACUUAAACAUUUCAAAUUUUAUUAUUUUCAGAUUAUUUUAAUGUAAUAUAUUUUUACUGAUAAUAAAUAAAACUUUAAUACCAUUAAAAUAAAAUUAUAUACAAAAUAAUUAUAAUAAAAAAUUAUAUAUACUGAAAAAUUGAUUAUAUAUAUUCCAAUUAUAUAUGAUUAUAUACAAAAUAAUAUAUCUCUCAAUGUUACUUCAUGAUAACCAUUGUAAAUUUUAACCAAGUAGAAAUAAAAUAAUUUGGUAUUAUUAUAAUAAAAAAUAAAUUUAAUUGGAUAUAAAGUUAUUAUAUUAUAAAUAUUAGUAUAUUAUAUAUAAUAAAUUAAUAGAAAAAAAUAUAUAAAGGUAAAUAAUUAAUAUAUAAAAUGAAUAUAUAUAUAGAGAGAGAGAGAUUAGUGUAUAUAAAGUUUAUCUUUAAUAAAUCCAUUGAUUUAAAAAAUAAAUUCGAUUGAUAAAAAAAUAACAAUUAAAAAAUAGGCAUAAAUAUGAUAUUUUUAUUAAAUUAUUUUCCAAAAUUUUAAAGUUUCUGAAAUUCAUAUAUAUAAUUUUAUAAACAUAUAUUAUGUGAAUUAAUUUAAAUAAUUCAAAUAUUUUUAUAAAUUCAUGUUGAUAUUUAAAAUUUUUAAUUUUAAAUAAUUAAAUUAAAAUUUUAAAAUUUAUUACAAUUUUACGGGUGUGCUCAAAUCAAUUUCGACUAAAAUAGUGAAUAUCACCUAUCAUUUCAUAUGAUAUUUUUAUUAUUUUUUAAUUAAUUAUAUUUAUAUUUUAUUGAAUAAAAUAAUCUAAAUAUUGUUAUAAAUUUAAAUUUAUUUUAAUAUUUUUAGUUUAUUAAAUAAAAUAAUUCAAAUUUUAUUACAAAUUCAUAUUUAUAUUUUAAUUUUUCAAUUUUAAAUAGUGCAAAUACAAUUAGGUUAUAUAUUUUUCCAAAGAUAUUGGAGAAGUCAAAUCGAUUAAUAGAUUUUUUUUACCGUUAAGAGAGAUAGAAUCUAAAACGAAAAAAAUAAAUUAAUGGAAGAGUAAAACCAAUUUAGAAUAAAAAAUAAUUAUUUAAUUAUUUAUCUUUUUAAUUAUAUUAUUUUUUAAAUUAAUUUUAUUUAUUAUCAUUCGUUUAGAUUUUAUUCUCUCGUUACAAUUAAAAUUGUGAAAAAAUUACGAAUCAAUUUAACUUUUUCACCGUUUUAUAAUUAUUAGUUAAAGAUGUGAUUCCUUUCAAAAUAUUAAAGAUUGAAAGAUCAGAAAAUAAACCAUGAAUUUAUGGAAAAAAAUUAUUUGUUGAAAUAAUAUAUCAUAAAAAAUUAUAUAUAAAGAAAAGAUAGAUAUGUAUGUAUCUGGCUGAUAAAGUAAUGAGAUGAGAAUUGAGAAAAGAAAAGUACCUUCACCACAACCAAGCUUUACACUCUUGAAAGAGGUCUGAGUUCUCAAGAACUCAAGCAAAGUCAUUGAAGGAUCCACAGUGGAUAGCUCGAACCUCUUUCCAUUAACUGCAAACACCAAACUCCUCUUCUCGCCAAUUCCAUUUUCCCCUUCCAUUUGGGUAUGUGUGUUUCUGGGAGUAUCCAUCCAAAACCAGAACCUGCCGAUCCUCUUCCCGACAUGAAUAUAUAAGCAUCCAAAACGACAGCUUGAAAAGAUUUUUAAUAUAUGAUUAAUGGGUUAAUCACAACUACAUCAUUGCAGUUGUAAUGCCGGCCUUUAAAAUUUAAAGAAAGAUUCUAAUUAAGCCAUCAAAAUAAAAUUUUCUAAUAUAUUUUCAACCGAUGACCUUAUUAUUGAUUAUUUUAAAUAGGCGUAUUGAGCUGGGAAGUUUUAUGAUUUGAUAGUAUAACGAAUGGCAACAAAGGUUGGACCGUGAGUUUAGAAUUGUUAAUAAAAAAUAGUUUUAUUCUCCUUUGACCUUUCAUCUGAUUUUAAUUUUUAAAAAAUUAACUAUUUAAUAUUUAAAUAUUAUCUUUAUUAAUAAAUUAAUCUUUUAAUUUUUAAAAUUUUAUUAAAAUAUUUUUUUUCUAUACCAACUAAAUAAUUCUUCCAUUUAAUUCUACUAUUAAAAAUAUAGUAAAAAAUUAAAUUAUUUCUCAUUUUCUUCAUUUUUUUAUUCUUCAUUUUCUUUUUUUUUUUUCUUUUUCUCAUCCUCUUAUCUCCUCUCUGUUUNNNNNNNNNNNNNNNNNNNNNNNNNNNNNNNNNNNNNNNNNNNNNNNNNNNNNNNNNNNNNNNNNNNNNNNNNNNNNNNNNNNNNNNNNNNNNNNNNNNNNNNNNNNNNNNNNNNNNNNNNNNNNNNNNNNNNNNNNNNNNNNNNNNNNNNNNNNNNNNNNNNNNNNNNNNNNNNNNNNNNNNNNNNNNNNNNNNNNNNNNNNNNNNNNNNNNNNNNNNNNNNNNNNNNNNNNNNNNNNNNNNNNNNNNNNNNNNNNNNNNNNNNNNNNNNNNNNNNNNNNNNNNNNNNNNNNNNNNNNNNNNNNNNNNNNNNNNNNNNNNNNNNNNNNNNNNNNNNNNNNNNNNNNNNNNNNNNNNNNNNNNNNNNNNNNNNNNNNNNNNNNNNNNNNNNNNNNNNNNNNNNNNNNNNNNNNNNNNNNNNNNNNNNNNNNNNNNNNNNNNNNNNNNNNNNNNNNNNNNNNNNNNNNNNNNNNNNNNNNNNNNNNNNNNNNNNNNNNNNNNNNNNNNNNNNNNNNNNNNNNNNNNNNNNNNNNNNNNNNNNNNNNNNNNNNNNNNNNNNNNNNNNNNNNNNNNNNNNNNNNNNNNNNNNNNNNNNNNNNNNNNNNNNNNNNNNNNNNNNNNNNNNNNNNNNNNNNNNNNNNNNNNNNNNNNNNNNNNNNNNNNNNNNNNNNNNNNNNNNNNNNNNNNNNNNNNNNNNNNNNNNNNNNNNNNNNNNNNNNNNNNNNNNNNNNNNNNNNNNNNNNNNNNNNNNNNNNNNNNNNNNNNNNNNNNNNNNNNNNNNNNNNNNNNNNNNNNNNNNNNNNNNNNNNNNNNNNNNNNNNNNNNNNNNNNNNNNNNNNNNNNNNNNNNNNNNNNNNNNNNNNNNNNNNNNNNNNNNNNNNNNNNNNNNNNNNNNNNNNNNNNNNNNNNNNNNNNNNNNNNNNNNNNNNNNNNNNNNNNNNNNNNNNNNNNNNNNNNNNNNNNNNNNNNNNNNNNNNNNNNNNNNNNNNNNNNNNNNNNNNNNNNNNNNNNNNNNNNNNNNNNNNNNNNNNNNNNNNNNNNNNNNNNNNNNNNNNNNNNNNNNNNNNNNNNNNNNNNNNNNNNNNNNNNNNNNNNNNNNNNNNNNNNNNNNNNNNNNNNNNNNNNNNNNNNNNNNNNNNNNNNNNNNNNNNNNNNNNNNNNNNNNNNNNNNNNNNNNNNNNNNNNNNNNNNNNNNNNNNNNNNNNNNNNNNNNNNNNNNNNNNNNNNNNNNNNNNNNNNNNNNNNNNNNNNNNNNNNNNNNNNNNNNNNNNNNNNNNNNNNNNNNNNNNNNNNNNNNNNNNNNNNNNNNNNNNNNNNNNNNNNNNNNNNNNNNNNNNNNNNNNNNNNNNNNNNNNNNNNNNNNNNNNNNNNNNNNNNNNNNNNNNNNNNNNNNNNNNNNNNNNNNNNNNNNNNNNNNNNNNNNNNNNNNNNNNNNNNNNNNNNNNNNAAAUUAAAAUUUAUUAUUAAAAAAAUAAUAUUUUAUUAAAUCAUGAUUUAUUUGAUGUUAAAGAUAAAGUUUAGAGCUUUUCGUUCAAAAAAAAAAAGAUAAAGUUUAGAGCUUUAUCUAGUAAAAAAAACACAUCGGUAUAUUUAAUUAUUAAUAAAAUUAAAAGAACUUAAUUAGAUUUAUUUUUUAAUUUAAUAAAUUAUUUUAAAAAUAAGACCGAUUGAAUUUAAAAAUCUAAGGGUUUACGUAUUUUUACUAUUAUUGCAUGACUUAAUUAUUCUAGUUAUCAUGUCCACGUGAACAUGACAAAUGACAUACUUCAGUUAUAAUUAAAAUUAAUUUAAGUGUUUAAUAUCAUUAUUAUUACAAUAAAAUUUGAAAAAUAGGCUCGUAAUCUGAAUUCAAAAAAUUAGACUAUAAUUACAAAAACACAUAAAAUUUUGAAAUUUUGUGCAACAGGUCAAGAAAUAAAAAUCAUAUAUGUUUGCUUUUUUUAUAUAAAAAAAAUUAAUAGAAAGUAGGAGAAUAUUAAAACUUUCUAAACUACCCCUACUAUAUUUUAUAUUUUAUUAAUUACAAUUUUAUUAUUAUUUAUAAUUUUUAAUUUAAUUAUUUAAUUAUAUUAAUAUUUUAUUUAAAUUCAAAUUGAUUGAAGAAUUAUCUUAAUAUUUAAAUUAUAGUUUCAAUAAAUUUUAUUAUAGAAAUUUUUUUAAUAUUUAAAUUAUUUGUAUUAAAAUUUUAUUAUAAGUUAGACUAUAUUUUUUAGAAAAAUAAUUACGAUUUAUUGUUAUUUAAAAUUUUUUAUUAAAUUUUAUUAUAAAAAAUAUUUUUUAACAUUUAAAUUCUAUUUAUUGAAAUUUUAUCGUAAGUUAAAUUAAUUUUUAAAAAAUAAUAAAUUAAAUAAAAAAUUUAUAUAAAAAUAUAAAAAUUUAGUAUCUUAUUUUGGGAAUAAAAAAUUUAUGAUAUACUAUAUUUAGAAAUAAAAUAAAAAUCUUAAUUUAAUUGAAUUAUUAUUAUUAAUAAAUUUAUAUAUAUUUUUAUUAUUUUUUAUUUUACAUAUAAUUUAUAAUGAGAGAAAAGCAAAUGAUAAGGUUGUUUAAAAUACUCAUAAUUACAUUUAUUAUAAAUUAUUUUUAUUUUGAUUGAUUAAAAAUAAUAAAUAAUAUACUAUUAUUUUGAAUUUUGAUUUAAUUAUUUUUUAUUUAAAUCUAAUUGUAAAAUAACAUUUAUGGAUUAUAAUUUUUGUAUUUACAUAAUUUUUGUAAUUUCUUAAUUAGAUUAGAUUAAUUAUAUCCGAAAACUGAGAUUAAUAUUAAUAUCCUUAUGCCGUCCGCAAAAUUCAGGUGUAGUUGUGGUACGGGUGUUUCUCUGGAUUGUGGUUUUCUUCAGUAUUAUCGAAGGCUAUAACUCUGGUAUUUUAAUUGAACCUUUGAUGUUUUGUUUGAAUGUACAAGACAAGAUAUUAUUACUAGAAGCUCUUUGUUUUUCACAUAUUACAAGCAAAGUCUUAGCUGUAGAUUUAUAAAUUAUUUUGUCUCUUCCUUAUUUUAAUUUUUUUCUCUUUUGUCUAAUAUUUAGCAAUAAAGUUAUUAUUAAUUUUUAAUAAUAAAAUGAAGGACAAAGCUGAUAAUACAAUAUUUUUUGUUUAUUUUUAUUUGAAUUGUGAUUUUAGAUGUUAUUGUAAAAAUAAUAUUGUUUACAUCAUAUCAUAAGUUUUUUAGUAUGGACCUGCAAAAUAAGAAAGAACACUGAGUAGAUUGUUUUGGUAACCUCCCUCUGAUGCUUUACUCAGUAUAUUUGAUGAGCAAAUUAUAGAAUUUAUUGAUAAAAGAGAAUAGUGUACUCAUUAUGGAGGUUGAGAGCUCUUUAUAUAGUGUGUAAGAUAGAGUGGAUAUCAUAUGGAAUUCUAAAUAAGAUAGGGGAGUCUAAAUAAGAUAGGAUAUAGAAUCCUAUUAGAUAAAGAUAAUAUUUGGAAAUAGAUUAAUGUUCUAUUGUGAUCAGGGCUCUAUCACCUUAUUCGGAGUUUUAAGAUAUUUAAAUAGUUGACGUAAUUUGGAUUAUUAAGAGUCAAAUUUAAUAUAUUUUAAUAUUGAGUUACAUCAGUAGUCUCUCCUACAAUGGUCAAAUCCUUGUGAGAAUUUGAUGACAAAUCAAUUUGGUGAUUGCUUUGACUUUUUUCUUGGCAAACUUAUCGCUUUGUGGGACUCAAGUAAUGAUUUGCUUUGAUUUUUUUUCGUAACGAAUUUGUCGCCUUGUAUUUUGAUCUUGGAGUUCAUAAUUCCUUUGCUACUUGUGUUUGUGAUAAUGAUGUUUUGUUGGUGCAUUUUAAUCCAGGUUAGAGGAUUAAAGGUAUCAUAACUUAAAUAUAAGUGUUCAAUAGAUGGAAUUGUAUGGUUAAAUAAAUGUUGUUUUGAUGGCUUGACAUUGAUGAGAUCUGGUAUAUGCUGUCAUCAUGAGAAGUUUGCAUAGGCAUCAGUUGCUAAUGAGGGCGUGCAGAUCAUCUAAGGAGGCAAUUGAUUUCCUAAAAGGACACUCUUACAUCACCUAGGGACGUUCUUAUGUUGCUUAUAUGAGUAAUUACAAUGCUCUUACGUCGCCUAGGGAUGCUCUUACGUCGCCUAGGGACGCUCUUACAUCGCCUAAAUAGGUAAUUGGUGACCUAAAAGGGCGCUCUUACCUUGUCUAGGGGUGCUCUUAUGUUGGCUAAGUGAGCAAUUGGUUGCCUAAAAGAGUACUCUUACGUCGCCAAAGGGUGCAAUAGGUUGCUUGAAUUUGGAGAAGAGCCUUUCGAUAUGUGGAGCGUACUAUCACUUUAGAGUUAUGCAUCUUUUAUAGGUGAUAUAACCUGUUAAAUCUCAUCUACAAAAUUAAUCCGUAUAGAAGAUGUAAAAAUAUAAAAAUUAAAUUUGCAUAAGAUAACCCAUAAUGAUAUGUGAUCCUAAAGUUAAUACAGAGUAAAAAAUAGAAAAAUAAAUACAAAAGUGAAAAGUAAUUAUUGCUUACCGCUGGUUGUUAAGCACAUAAUAUUACUUAGUUGAUAUGUCUAAAUAUCACCAUAUUGUAAUAAAAUAAUUUGUAGCUUUCCUUUCUCUCUCUCCUUUUUUCUACAAUAAAGAAUUCUUUCUAAGCCAUUAAUAUAAUGGUGGGUCUUGUAAAAUAAACUUAAUAAAUGUUGGCUAUAUCUUAGUAUAUAUUUGUAAUCAUAUUUGAUAUUUUCCAGAUUUCUAGUGUCUGGUUGUUUGUAUUUCUGUUAUACGUGUUGUAUAAAUACCUCACUCACAUGAAUGAUAAGAUCAUCUCCUUGAGCUUCGUUAUGGUAUCAGAGUCACAAAGUUUUAAUAACCAUGGCUUCAGAAUCAAGUUCUUCAACACAAUCAGCUCCUUCAGUCUUCUCCUCUAGUAUGAACUCUAAUAUUCCCAAUGUCUCUUCUUUUCUUUCUGUCAAAUUAACAUCUUCCAACUAUCUUCUCUGGAAAACACAAAUUACACCUCUUCUUUAUGGCUAUAAUCUAUUUCAUCAUGUUGAUCCAACUCAAAAAAGCCCAUCAACAGCAGAUCUAGAAUAUCAGAAGUGGUAUUUUGAGGACCAAAUUGUUCUCACCUGGAUUAAUUCCUCUCUUUAUGAAAGUUUGUUAUCACAAAUGGUUGGAGUUACUACAGCACAAGAGGCGUGGACUUGUCUUGAAAAGACCUAUGAUUCUGGAUCAUGCACUCAAAUCCACCAUAUCAAAUAUGCAAUUCACAAGUUCUAUAGAGGAACAGAUUCGAUUGAAAUUUAUUAUCAAAAAUCAAAGGGAUUGGCUUAUCAGUUGGCAGCCUUGAAAAGCCCUAUGACUGAAGAUGAUCUCAUUGGAGCAAUUCUAGAUGGAUUGGGUGAUGAUUAUAGACCUUUCACUCGAUCUCUUGAGGCACGACUUGAACCAACUUCUCUUACCCAUUUGUAUGGAUUAUUGUUAGCUGAAGAGCGAAAAAUUUUGCAUUCUAAUCAAGGGGUUCAAAUAUCAUCGACUGCACUACUUAUUUCCAAUUUGCAGUCCUUUCAAUCUUGCAACCAAAAUUCUAGUUCUCGUGGAGGUUAUGGCGGUCGCUCUAAUAACAGACAAUGCGAAGGACGAUCAACUUAUCAAAAUUAUGGCCAUUCAAACAAUCAUAAUUACAACGGAGGACGAUCGACUUCUCAGAAUUAUGGUCAUUCAUCCAAUUCAGAUUCUGCCUCCUUUGUUAUUAAUGUUGUCUGUCACAAUUGCAAUGGAAUGAGACAUCUUGCAAGAACUUGCCCUAGCCAACACUAUUCUCAAACUGCACCACAAGCUCACAAAGCAAAUGGUAACCUAUAGUCAUCAACUUCUCAGCCGUGGAUCAUGGAUUCUGGAGCGACCCAUCAUCUCACGGGCAACUUAGCAAAUCUGAAUCUCAUUUCCGAAUAUUCUGGCCCUGAUGAAGUCACUCUUAGUAAUGGUAAAAGCAUUCUUAUUUCUCAUGUUAGUUCCCCUAGUAUUAAUGAUUCUAGUCAAUCUUUUUUCUUAAAUCAAAUUCUGUUUAGUCUUAGUGCUUCUCAUUCUCUUAUGUCUGUAUUGAAAUUCACUAAUGAUAAUUAUGUUUCUGUUGAACUUUAUCUUGAUGUUUUCUUCAUGCUUAAUGAGAGCUUGCGUAAUACUUAAAAAUAAUAAAAUAUUUAUGCAAGUUAUUUAGCAAUGGCAAAUUCUGUCUCUGAUUUAGAGAUAUUGUCACAAAUUCUAUUGCAACAAUAGCGACUUGCACAAAAAGUUUGUAAUAGCAAACAUAGGAUUAAAUAUGUUGCAAAUCUAUUGUAUAAGCUUUUUGUGAUGAAAUAAAAUCCUUUACCAACGAUAAUUAUUUCCUCGUAGACGUUCAGAUUUUUAAUAAUGUGACUGAAAUAUAAAUUUUAUUGUAAUAAAUUUUGUGACAGAAUUAGUUUAUUUAGCGACGAAAAUAUUUCCAUCGUAGAAGCUCAAAUUUCAAAAAAAAAUUGCGAGGGAUAUAUAAAUUUCAUUAUAAUAGAUUUGGCGACAGAAUAUAACUCUUUAGUGACAGAAAUAUUUCUGUCACAGAAGCUCAAAUUUCUACUUGUUUGAUCACAAUCUUCUUUAAAUAAUAAAAAAGUAUGAGAUACAUAACUUUUAUAUUGAUUCCCAUAGACGGUGCCAAUAAUGUUGUUCACAUUAUAAUUCUUUGGGUAUGGACCUGCAAAAUAAAAGAGAAUACCGAGUGGGUGCUUUGGCAAUCUCUCUUAUACUUAAGUCAAUAUAUUUAAUGAGUUAAUUAUAAAAUUUAAUGAUAGAGAGAAUAAUAUAUCUCAUUAUGAAGGUUAUGAGCUCUUUAUAUAGUGCGUACGAUAGAGUUUGGAUAUGAUAUGAAAUCGUAGAUAAAAUAUAAUACAAAGUCCUAAAUAAGAUAGGAUAUGAAAUCCUAUCAAAUAAGAAUAAUAUUCUGAUAUGGAUAAUAUUCUAUUGUGAUUAGAAUUCUAUCACCUUAUUCGGAAUUAUAAGAUAUUUGAAUAGUUGACGUAAUUUAAGUUAUUAAGAUCCGUAUUUAAUAUAUUUUAAUAUUGAGCUACAUUAAUAAUAUUACAUCAAUAAAAAUAAUGUUUGUACUGUCUAUUUAUGAAUCCAUUUGAGUUCAGAAUGAAAUUUACACCGUUUGUAAUAUUCAUCUAUAAUCCCAUAAAAUUUUGUAAUUAUUAUUGUACAUUUUAUAAAAUAUUAUUUAAUUAUCAUAAGUAUGAGAUUAAUAUGAUAUUUUAAUAAUAGAUUUUGAAUAAAUUAAAUGUAACGACUCGAAAAUCGGACCGCUACCGGCGCUAGGAUCCAGGUCGGCUUAAGGCCGCCGGAACCCAUAGCAAGCCUGACAUAAAACCUGUAAACAUGAUUAAUCCCAUACAUGAUCAAGGAUAUACAUAAAAAUUAAAACUUUUCUUUCAUACAUUCUCUCAUACACCAAACUCAACCUGUGCAUGCACUGAACAUAGACAUAAUCAUAAGCAUUGACCCCUCUGUGGAAUCUCAACAAUGCCCCAAAGGGCGAUACAAUAUAUGUUGAGUUGGUUUACAUAAGCAUCAUAAAACAUCUAAGAUCAUGUAUUAAAGGGAUAACAACAUUCUAUGGUCAAGCACACCUCUAUCAUCCAUAAGCCUCAUUACAUUACAUGUCUAAACUGUACUUUUACAUAACAUCAAAUACAUUUAUCAUGUCCACACUAUCUAUUACAUAAACAAGACUUCAAUACUCUUGCCGACCUCCUGGUCUACCCUGUACCUGCAAACCUGUGGGAUUAGGGAGAGGGGUGAGCUACUAGAGCCCAGUGAGCAGAAUAAUAAAACUUUUAAAACAUAUAAUAACAUGGAAUGCAUCACAUCACAAUCAUAUCACAUCAAGGAUGAAUUUGUCACCAAUAGUCCUCUACAUAGUCCAACUGUGCCAGAACGUAGAAUGGGUCCUGGUCUUUCUCUUACAUAGUGCCAGCGAACGUAGAAUGGGUCCCACUGGUCUUACAUUUCGUACCGUACAUAUCACAUCGUCACAUCAUAGAUCGAGGGCUAUGGAUCAUCCAACAUUCAUCCACAACAACAACAGUAGAGUAUGCAAUGCAACAUAUUCGUGAGUUCUAAUGCAACAACCUAGUAUAUCUCAUGGCAUUAAUGAUGCGUGAAUCAUGCUAAAAUGUCCAUUUAUUUGCUUUAAAAACGUAAUGAGUUAUUCCACUCACCUCUGGAUAGCUCUGACCAGACACUGGAGCAGCUGACUCACUGCUGAGGUCCUCGGUUCCUCGGGUCCGAAUCUACACAGGUGGACUCAAAUGAGGGACCAAACAUACAUGAACAUAACUCUAAACUAUUCCCCAAAAACCCCUUAAAACAUCAUGAAACAAUCAUAGAAAAAAUGCAAAGGAAGGCUGGAUAGGGCACUUUCGGCGGCAGAUUUGGCGGCCGAAAGUCCCUCCAGAGCUGAAAGUCAGGCAGGUUCGGCGGCACCUUCGGCGGCCGAAACUCCUAGACAGAGACGAAACUCAUGCAUGUUCGGCGGCACUUUCGGCGGCCGAAACUGCCCUCCAGAGACGAAAGUCAUCUUUCGGGGGCAGGCUUCGGCAGCCGAAGGCUGCCUCCAUAAGCGGGUUCGGCGGCCGAAAGUCCCUUCGGCGGCCGAACCUGAGUUUCUCCAAAGUGGCAGAAACUCAGCUCCAACAUGCACAACGCCUCCCAAACUUUUCAAACAUGCAUAAACCUAUUCUACAACACUCCCAAUCAUACACAAACAAGCAUACAAGCUCCUAGGGGCUUCAAACCAUCAAAAACCCCAACUACAACACAUCAACAUACCCACAUUGUCCAAAAAUAUAUCAUGAACUCAUAAACCUAACCAUGAGCUAAACAUGCAUUCUACCCCAUAGAUCUACUUUAAACUUACUUAAAACAUGCCAUAAGCUCAAGAUCGACCCUUACCUCUUGAAGAUUGAGAGGAGAACGACCCUAGCUCGGAAAAUGGGAGAGAGAGAGUUCCUUGAACCUCCAAGCUCCAAAACUUGCUCAAAUGUUCAAAACCUUCAAAACAAGGUUGCAAACUCAUAAAAAUCAUGAAGAAUGGAAGGAAGAAACUCAAGAUUGGCGAGGGAUGGCGGAGAGCUCCCCUUGGCCGAAAAUGGGGAGAAAAAUUCGCUCGUUUUCGGCUAAGAGACCCCUUUAUAGGUGGCUGGCCAGGUCACGUUCGGGAGCCGAAAGUGUCUCCGCAUGCAUGCUAUGUUCGGCGGCCGAACCUGGUUUCCCUCACUUAUGCUUUCGGGGGCCUAAGGCACACCUGAAACGCAUGCAUGUUCGACGGCCGAACCUGAGUUUUCCUCCAAGGUUGUUUUCAUGCAAAAACUCAUUUUCUUUCAUGCUUAAAACAUAAAACACAUUAAAACAUUUUAUGGAAACAUAGUUUUACCCUUCUAGAGGUCUCCGACACCCGAGAUUCCAUCGGACGGUAGGAAUUCCAAUACCGGAGUCUAGCCGGGUAUUACAUUAAAUAUCACAAAUUUAGAAAAGUGUACUUGAUACAAAAUUAAUUCGAUUGAUUUUAUUUAUUUAUUAAAAGAAUUAUUUUAAAUUCAAUAAGAAAGAUUCUUGAACUUGAAUAAACUAGUUUCCUCUCUUAACCCUUCUAGAUUUUACACAACUUCUAUUGAUGGAGACUUUGUAAAUGAAAUGAUGCUAAUAUUUAUGAUACAUAGAAAAAAUGUGUGAAAACUUAAUGGCAAAGAAACAUUAAUUUAUGUAUAUCUCUUGACGUUAUUUGAUAUAUUCAUCAAGUAUUCAAAUGAAUGGAGAAAAAUAAAUUUUAAUUAAAAGUAAACAUCCUUUAUUUUAAUUAAAGUAAAUAUCCUUUAAUAUCAUACCACUUUAUUAAAUAAAAUUUUAGUUAAAUAAAAAAUUCUAAUUAUAGUUAAAUUCUUACAUCCUUCCACGUGACAUCAUUAUUAAAUGAUAUAAACUUUAGUACUAUAAAAAUUAGGCAUACACAGAAUAAAUAGAUUUUUUUUGUAUGUCCUUCAUAUAUAUCCUACUAUGAUAACUAUGCAGUUUAUGACAAUUAUAUAUUAUUUAAUCGCAUAGUUUUUUUAUAUAUCACAAUAUUAAUAACUUACCAUAAUAGGAUAAUAAAUCAUAAUGGAUAUAUAUAUGACACAUUAUUAUUUAUAAUAAUAUCUUGAAAGACUUUUAUUUUAAUCAUUCAAUAAUCAUGUGUACAAAAUUAUAAGGAAUUAGAAAAUUUAUAAAUGCAAGUUAUAAAUUAUAUCAUUUAGUUUCGAGUGUUUUUAGAGCUAAUAUAUCAUUUAUUAAUGCAACUAAGUUCCAUUACAAGAGUAUGCUCUCUAAAUGACUUGGGUUGUAAUCCUCGUCAAUGAAUCUACAAUCAUUAGAUCAAGUUUUAAUAUGCUCAAUAGAUAUUCUUUAUUUUUUAAAUUCCUUCCUAACAACAAAUUACUUUAAUUCCGUAUUUUUUUAUAUUUAGGAUAUUUAUUUUUUUGAGAAAAAUAUUACUGAGAAAUUAUCAUAAUAAAUUUUCAAUGACUUACUAAUAGUGUGGACUACCUCAAAUUCUGAGAUAAAAUUAUGAAUGAACUGUCAUUUCAAAAUAUAUCAUAAAUAAUGCUUCCAUAAUUAACAAUGUAGUGAUAGAUUGUUUGGCCUUUUUAUAAUACUACUCUUCUUGCUAAUAGGAACAAAUAACUAAAAGUAGAUUUUAUAUUGUCAAUACAUCCUACAAAAUCUAAAUAUGAGCAUCAAAUUACUUUCAAGUGAUCAGACCUCCUAUCCAUAAGAACUUACUCUUUAGUCUCUUGGAAGUAUCGUAAAAUUUUCUUUGAAAUUUUUCAGUGAAUAUACAUUAAUUAUUAUAAAACUUUCUUUAGAGCUUUUUUAUGACAUUUUCUAUGAUUCACUUUUAUCAAACAUUUUGACUUAAUCAUUUCAGGGUGUAUUUCAUCAUUGCAUUAUAUAACAUUAUUAGGACUUUCGACAACUACUGGAACUAUAUGCAGAAGGGAAGUGGAUAAAGGAAUAUUAGUAGAUACAAAAAGGUCAACUUUAGUUUUCUGCAGACCCACAUCCUAUCUUUCAACAUUUCCACUACACCAUUCUUAAGGAAUUUAGUAUUACAAGUUAAUAUAGGACUAUGAUUUGAAACAUAAAACCUAUAUUCCUUGAAUUUCUCUGGAUAACCAAUAAAGUACCUAUUGGUUAUUCAACCUUUCAUGUGGAUUAUAAAUUCUUACUUAUCCUGAAUAAUCCCAACAUGCAGGUGUCUUAAAUUAGAUUUUAUUUCAAACAUGACUUUUUUUAGGAUUGCCUUACGAGGAUCUAGUUUAACAGGUAUAUGAUGAUUUUAAGUGUGUACAUCUAUAAUGAUAUAGGCAAAGAAGAGUUAAUCGUUAUACUCCUAACCUUAUCUAUUAAUGUACAAUUUUUUCUUUCUAUUUGAUUAAUUUGUUGAUGUGUACCUAACAUAGUAUCCUGACAAUCGGUUGUCGAAGCCGGUCAAAAAUAACCUUCUUGGUUAUCAACAAUUUACAACUGCAGAUAGUGGAGAAGGAUCGAAUCCACAGAGAAUUGAUUACCUAUUUAUUUUUCUCAAUCAAGACCAAGAGAACUAAUUGAAAACACAAUUGAAAGCAAGUGAUCAAGCAUAAAUUAGCCACAUUUUUAUUAUCUUUAUUAUUGCUUAUUUGCACAAUUUUUAGCUUAAUUUAUGGUUUUUACUUUAUUUUUACAGAAAAGAAAGAAAUUGGAAAACUGAAGAAAAAGUGCAGAAAAUAACAGAAAAGUGAUUGGGUCAGUGAUUUGCCCAAAUCACUGCCCAAAUCAAGCAGAGACAGAAAGCUGAAAACUGGACUGAUUCACAGGAAGCGAUCGGGGUAGUGAUCUGCCCAAAUCACCGCCCCGAUCAUACUGACAGCAGGAAUUGACAGCAGAAGCGAGAAAAGAGCAGAAAAUCCAAAUUCAAAGAAAAGAAGUCCAAAUCCACUUCAAACACCACAAGAUCAGUCCCAAAAGCCACGCCAUUCACUUAGAAAGUUUCAUUCUCAAUCAAAAACAAAAUCCAAAGAGGAAUCAAAGACUAUAAAGAAGACCAAAUCAAAUUGAGAUUUCAAAACCCUAAUCAAAUUGGAAUUGGAAUUCUCCAGCUAUAUAAGGGCAGCAUCCAAACCAGCAAAGGGGCAUCUCAUCUUCAGCAAUUCUGCAGAAAAUACAGCAGCUUGUCUCCUUCUUUUCUUUCUUCUUUCUUUUGUGUAUUUUGUCCACCAUGAGUGACUAAUCUCAUUCUUUUCUAGUUGAAGUUGAGGAAAUUCAGAUUUGUGAUGAAUUGGGAGAUUUAAUACUCCAUUGUUAAACUCUUAUUGGCUUUCAAUAUUUAUGCAACUUGAUCUUUUCUAUGAUUGUUACUUUGCUUUUAGAAUCAAUAAGGGCCCAUUACUUUUAAAUUGUUUGAGUAAUAAAUUGUUUGAAUAACUUAAGUCCGUAAUUGCUUCUAUUAUUCGAACACAAAUAUAAUCAGUUGCAUAAUCUAGACUUGACCACACGGUUGACAAUGAUAGAAUUGGGUUUUUCUAAGUCUUAAUGCAGUCAACAGUUGUUCGAUGCUAAAUGCCCAAAGGACGUUCCUUGGCAACUAGUUGAUUAGUGUUUGAUUGGCGAACGUUUCCUAAUCAAACUAGAACUGUAACGACCCGGUAACCGGACCGCCACCGGCGCUAGGAUCCAGAUCGGCUUAAGGCCGCCGGGACCCGUAGCAAGCCAAACAUACCUCCUAUCACCUGGUCAAAUCCCAUACAUGAACAAAACUUUAACAUAAAAACUGAAACAUAUGAUGUAAAUACCGAGCCUGACCUGUAUGCGAUAUAACUGAAAACAUAAAGGAACCCCCUACUAGAGCCCUCAUCACAACUCUAGCUGGGUCAACAUAACAUACAUCAAACUGGUAUUACAUCCAAGAACUAGAACCUAACCUGUGCAUGCCUCAAAUCACAAACAUCAGACCUCCUCUAGGGUCCUUAUCCAUUACAUAACGUGGUAAACAACACAUGCCACAAGAUUAGUUCAACAUAACUCAACAUCUAGCAUAACAUACAUCAUGUAUUAAACAGGGACUAACCAAGUCUCAGGGCCAAGCAUAGUACUAAUCCAAUGAACAUAACUCUACUAUACUUUACAUUACAUUUCUCUUACAAAUCCAUAUAUCAAUUUCAAUACAUGUCCACAUUAAAAGUACUAAUCUAAUACUAUUACAAGCACACGUCACUUUAUCUUUACCCUGCUGACUUCUGAGCUCUGACUUAAACCUGCAACACUGGGGUUAGGGGGAAGGGGUGAGCUAAAAAGCCCAGUGAGUAGAAACAUAGAAAACAGUUCAUUAAUUUCAUGCUUUCAUGAAAUGCAUCAUAACACAGAGAAAUCACAUAAUCUUGUCCGCCUCGGGGCUUAUGCAGUAUUUAUUCCCCACGGACCCUGGUUUCUGAGAGUCUGUCUUUUUGCAUGCAUCUUUCCUCUCAGAGGAUGGACAUGACAUCAAAAAUCCCUCUGUCGGUGCCCGGCUCCCCCAUAGGAGCUCACAAAGGCCUGUAACAUACAUGACAUGGUGUCUGGUCCACAGAGAGCUCACAUGGNNNNNNNNNNNNNNNNNNNNNNNNNNNNNNNNNNNNNNNNNNNNNNNNNNNNNNNNNNNNNNNNNNNNNNNNNNNNNNNNNNNNNNNNNNNNNNNNNNNNNNCCUAAACUCAUGCAUGUUCGGCGGCCGAACUUGACUUUCGGCGGCCGAACCUUGGCUCGUUUAAACAAGACUUUUGGAGGCCAAAGGCGCUCCCGAAGCCUUCCCAUGUUCGGCGGCCGAACUUCACUUUCGGCGGCCGAACCUGGCAAUUGCCUCCUUGGUCUUUUUCCUUUCAAAACUAAAUUCAUUUUCAUUUAAAAUCAUGAAAUCAUGUGAAAACAUUUUAGAAAACACAUUUUACCCCUCUAGAAGCCUCUGGCAUCUUCAGAAUUCCAUAUUCCAACGGAGAUUCCGCCGGAAGGUAGGGAUUCGGAUGCCGGAAUCUAGCCGGGUAUUACAAGAACUAAGGAGGAAUUUGGUUGUGAGAAGCGUCUUCCACAACCAAAACUAAUUUAUUGAAAUAAAAUAAGAGUCUUAGAUAAUCAAUGAUCAAUUCUGAACAAACUGAAAUUGACUCAUACCUCAGCUAGAAUCUCUUUCCCAUUGAUAUUCUCACUUAUUUAAAUUAUUGCUUUCUCUUGCUUUCUAGAUUUAAUUCAUCAAAACAAAACCCCCUCUUUUAUUUAUUUGUCAUUUAUUUGCCUUAGUCAUAAUUAGGAAAAUCUUUGGUGUCAAUUCCCUGUGGUUCGACCCUAUUGCCACUAUCUGCAAGUUAAUUGUUGAUUGUUAAAUAGGUUUAUUUUUUACGGCUUCGACAACCGCUUAUCAGCAAGUAAUUGAAAGCUGAAUGAAAGUAAAGUGCAAUAAAAGUAAAAAGGGGGGUUUUGAGAUUGAUUUGUCUAAUAACUAUUGAAAGCAAUUAAAACAACAAUUAAUUAAAAUAAAAGAGGAAAUCAAUAUGAGAAAAGUCUAGUUGAAGAUAUGGAUCCACUUUGGUUGUUUGGGUUGAUCAUUGAAACUUAGGUUUUCUUGAUUGAUUCAAUAGAUUAGUUAUGGGGGUGGAAAACGCUUCUCACCACCAUGUCUCUCCUUAUGAUCAAAUCAAUUAGGGAACGUCCUCUAAUAAAUUACUAAUUAACAAAUUGCCAAGAAACGUCCUUGGGCCUUAGGCAUCAAAACAAUUGUCAAUUGCAUAAAGAAUGAGAGAGAUCCAACCCUAGCUACUCAAACGCAUGAGAUGUUGCUAGAUCAUGCAAUCCCUUAGUUUUUACACCAAGUGUUCUUAGGUCAGAAUAUUUCCAGGAAUUAUGGACUAACAAAUAUUCCAACUAACAAUCAAUUAACUUUGAAUCAAGAAUCAAGUGGCCAAUUUGAUCAAAACAACAAAGCAAUCUUAGAAUUAAGCACAAUUGCAUGAAUAUUGAAUAAACCAAAAGCAACCACUUUAUGUUCAGAUCUCACAAUCCUUUAAACAACCUUAGUUUCAACCAAACUUCAAUUAGAAUUAGGGUUUCAGCCACUCAUGGCUGAACCAAAACAGAAAAUAAAAGAAAAGAAAGCAAGAAGAUGAAGAACCAAAGGGUAGAAGCCUUGGAGAGCCUUGGAGAGCCUUGGAGGAAUUGUGUGUAUGAAAAUCUGCCUCUUCUUGUCUUCUUGAGGCCUUUAAAUAGGUGUUGAGAGGUUGUCUAGGGUUUCUUGGGUGUCCAUGCAUCUUUUAAGGAUUGCCUAAAGUGCCCUUGUAUCUUUUAUGUGCAUGUGUGGAGUUGCAAGCCCUUUUUGGUCUUUUAAUUGCUGUCCAAGUGUGUCCAAGAAGCCUUCUUCACAUUAUUCAUGCACUAAAGAGGAAGGUGGAGCCUUGAUUUGAAUUUUGAAUGUGCAUGGCAUAAAGUGGGAAACAUGUGAUCUUCAAGAUUUGGCUUAUUGAACAAGGAGGAGGCUGUUCGGAGGGACUUUCGGCCGCCUAAGUCUAGUUUCGGGGGCUGGACUUUCGGCUCUGGAGUGAAGGUUCGGCGGCCGAAGGUGCUGCCGGAGAUGGGUGACUUUCGGUUCUAGACCAGACUUUCGGCCGCCGAAAGUGCUUCCGAAGGUGACUGAAUUUUGGCUUCCGAAGGUGCUUCCGAAGGAGGUUGAGUUUCGGCUUUGGACUUGACUUUCGGCUUCCGAAAGUGCUUCCAAAGGUGGCUUUUCCAGAUUUGGCACUUUUUGGUAUUUUUAAGAGCAUUUUCUCCAAAUUGUCUCUUCACACCUAAUAUUUGCAAAACAUUAUUAAAACCACAAAAUUAGGUAGAAUUGGUGUGAAUAAACAUCAAUAAGAUCAUGAUAAUAUGGACUAAAAUAUGCUCUAUCAUAUCCUGUAUAUAUGUACCAUAACUUUCUAAGGUUUUAGAAGAUGUACUAGAAUAUUAUCCUAAUUCAAUAAGUUUCUCAUAAUAUUUGUCCUUCCUAUAUGAUCUUACUAUUUUUACAUUUCUAUUUAAUUGUCACUUCAAAUGCAUUUACUAAUGGAAACUCAUUAAACAAAUAAAUAUGUAACAUUUUCUAACGGUCCAUGAAUGAAUUGGACAAAUGAUGUCACAAGAUAUAUUAUAACUCGUACAAACCAUUCAAUCAUUAAUUAGUUAUUAUAAAAAUCUUGCACAUGAAAAAGUAUCCAUAUUUACAGACAAUAAAAAAUAUUAAUGUGAAAAGAAUCCUUUAAUUAUAAUAAUUUAACUUAUCCUCUUAAUACUCCUCGUUAUAAUGAUAUACAUCAAACUUUUACUAUUUAUAUUUUAAUGGAAAUACUACAAAGAGUUUCCAUGUGUUUUUAACAUUUUUCAACCUAUAAACAAAUUGUAAAAGUACUUCGAUAAUGUCAUUUAUAACCUCUAAACUUCUUCCAAUUAAAAUUUAAUUUAAACUUAAGCACCUCAAUAUUCUUUCAACAUUCGUUCAUAAAAUCAUUCAACAAUUUGAGUAUUCAUGAAUAACUCAUAUCAAUAAAGCUUAAUUCAUAACAUUUCAGAAUAAUUUCCAACACACAUGUGUUCUUAGAAUAACAUAUACAUCUCAUGAAUAACCCAGUCUACAUGCCAACAAUAACUGCAAAAAUGAUAUAUUCUCUUAAAACAAUAGUUCAUCUAUCUAACGCAAUAUUGAGUACUACCUACAAGUGAGUUAACUUGUUAAACAUAAAGCCUAGUAUUGCUAAAAAUAUUGAGUACUUAUACAAGUAAAGACAAUAUAAAUAAGAAAUAAAAACAACCAUGAUAUUUAAUUAAACUAUUGAUUAAGAAUAAUAGUGGCAGCGAGUAAAGUUAAGGUAAGUCUAUGAAGUUCAUUUUAAUGAUUCUAACUCCUAAUGAUUUUAUUGGAAAUAAUAAGGGGAUAAAAGAUUUUGUUUUACAAUAUUUCCGUAUUCAAGCAACUGUACAAUUUGUGUAAAUAUAGAUUUCUUUUACAUUGUUAGUUAGUAAGGGAUAUCAAAACAGUAAGGGUGCUUUUUAUCUAUAUAACCAAUUAUCAAAACAGUAGGGUUGAAGGACAAACUAUAACGAUAGUAAUAAUUUUCACAAGCCAAACCUAUGAUACCUUUUAUAACCAACAUUCUUCAUAUCAUAUGAUCAAUUAUCGCACCCUUAUGUAAUCUAAGAUUCUUACUCGAUUAUGUUCACCUUAAGACGCCACCACCUCUUUUUUUUUUCUCUCACAUUUUUUUAGUUGCAAAAUUAUAAUUUAGUCUUAAUUUUUUCAGACUUUCAAGUUAAUCAUUUAAUUAACUUCUCAAAAUUUUUAUUUAUACCUACAACUUCAAUAGCUUUAUUUUUAUACCUGAUAUUAAUUUUUCAUAAAUCAGUUCUCUAUCUCCCAAGAAUUUAAUUUUAGUCUUUUAAUUUUAAAUUUUUUAAACUUUUAUUUUCCAUUCUUAACUUUUAAAUCUUCAUUUUAAAGUCUAACUUCAAUUUAGACUCUACCUUUAUAUUUCCCUAAAUACAUAUAUAAAAAUGACCCCAAAUAUAUUUCUCCAAAAGUUAGGGUGUUACAUGAAUGGCUAUGAUUGAUCUUAGCUUUUAAAUCCAUCAAAGGGAAUCAAUUUCAUCUUUUAAAUAUUUUUUAUACUUAUUUUUAUCUAUUAAUCUUCUUCAAUUAAUCAAUUGAGUCCUUUCAACUUUUUUUUAAUAUAUUGACUUACUUAAUGAUGUUGUUGAAAUUAGAUUGAUGGCGUGGCCAGAAUGGAGCUGCACAAUGAUUGGUUAGAACCUGCAAGGAAGAGAAUGUGAGGUGGUGGUGGAUGCCUACAACAGCUACUCCAACACUCAAAUUAGUACUUUGAAGAGUAGAGAGAAUCUGACGAAUUGCUUAGAGUUUUUGUGUAAGAGAAUAGUGUACGUUUGUCUCUGUAAUGCUUCUCUUUUAUAUUGUAAGAAGGUGAAAAUAAAUAUAGUAUUUUCAAAUAGUCCGACGAUAGUGUGGUCGACUGCUUGAUAAGAGAUGUCACCAACUAAUAGAUUGAUGAUCUCGUGAUUACAGGCGUAAUGGGAAUACGCUAAGUUGUCCCUACUAAUGGCAACUUCAUGCUGAGACUCUUCCUGCUGAGGGAAGGGCAAUUCUUGAUGUGGAUCCAGGUGUUUUGGUCACUCUUCCUCAGCUUAGUCCACAUUUCUUACUCAUUAGAUUCUUUCUAUAUGUGUCUAUCUUACAGUGAUAGUUCAUGGUUUAUUUUGGACAAUUGUUAUGUAGUAUCACUUAACUUUCAUCUUUUAAUUGUAAAAGUUUAUGUCAUGUAAACUAAUAUGUCGAAAUUCGGCAAACACCUCAAGCAGAUAUGUUGGGAUGUUUUGAAGGUAUUAACUUUCAUUCAUUUGAAGUUCCUAUGAAUUACUAUUAAUUCUUGAAGUUUUGCGGAUGUUGCAAUUGUGACUUUUAUUUAUUCGGCCAACCUUAUUAUUUUUCUAACAUAGACUCAUGUGAAAAUUAACUUAAAUAAAAAUGUUUGGAUUAAUUAGAAGAAAAAAAAAUAAAUUUACCUUAAAGUUCACUAAAAAAACUUUAUUGAUAUAAAAAAUAAAUUAAAACCUCCAGCCCAUUGAAUUUUUCUCUUGAAAAAAAGAAAGGAAAAGAAAAGGUAAAAAGUAGAUGUGUAAAGGUAAAGCUAAAGGUGAGGUCGGCCAACGCCCCACCAUAAGCUAGCGAGUAUAAAUUUUUCAUGGAGCAAACGAUAUCCAGAAUAAAAUCUUGGAAGGUAGUGGAAAGAAAUUAAAUAAAAAAGGCUCCACCGUUGUCAACUUGGGCUAACCACCAAUCCCUUAUUCCCCCUCACGGGUUAAUUUAAUCUGGGAUUCUUCUUUUGCUUUGUGGGCAUUUCUUUAUGGGGUUGCAGAGAAGUGAAGCUGUCUCUUCUGAUACAAAGAAUUUUGGCUUUGCAUGAUCAAUAAAGAAACAAAUGAUGAUCUAAUGAAUUCUCAUCAAACCAAAGAAACAGUUUACCUGCGAAAAGGAAUAAGUCAUUGUGAAGAAAACAAUUUCCAAACUAGCUCUGAAAAGAAUAAGAAUAUCCAAAGCAAUACAUAAAGCCAGAACCCAAGGCAGAGAAAUUAAACUAUAUCCAUAAAUUCUUUCUCUUGAUCAGUUGUGUAUAAAAGCCCAUCAAGUUCUGUGAGUCUUAACACAUAAUUUCAGAAGAAAAUCAGGGUAAAAAUUUAUUAAAAUGGAUUCAAGGCGACGAGGGACUACUGCAGCUGAACGUGUAUAUGAAGAUUUUGAGCCUUCAAUAGAUUGGGUACGAGAGCCUGGAGCUGACACGCUCAGGGUCUAUCUACCAGGUAUCUCUUUCUCUUAUUAAUUUAAUUUCAAUAACAAUUUUCAAUAUUUAUUUAUUUUUUUAAUAAUAUUUCACUAUCAAUGUAUUUCUGGUCUUAAUAUAGGGUUCAAAAAGGAGCAAAUGAAAGUACAAAUAACCUUAUCUCGAAAGCUAAGGCUCAGUGGAGAACGUCCCCUCGGUGAAGGCAACAAAUGGAGUCGUUUCCACAAAGAAAUUCCCAUUGAUUCAAAUUAUGAUCCUAAUGAAAUCGGUGCUAAGUUUGAAAAAGGAAUACUUCUUAUAAGACACCCUAAAAUAAUUGUUCCUUACAAUGAGCCACAGGAGAUGAUAAAACCAUCCACUGAAGCCCCAAAGCCUCCAAAGCCACCGCAUGACGAUCCACAGCCACCAGCAGACACUCCAAAGCUAAAAACUCAGCUCUCUGAUGUGCUGAAGCCUAGAGCGAUGAAAACAGAACCCUUUAUGCCUGAAAAACGUGAACCUCAGGCUGCAGAUACUUCAAAAAGAGGUUCGCUUCAGAUAAAGGAGAAACAGAAGGAAACGAGCGAAGAAGAUCAGAAGAGAAAUGGAUGGACUGAUGCAGCUGAAAAGGGUACCACCACAGCCAACAGAGGCACAAAAGAAGCAAAAGUUGCUGAUUUUGUUCAGGAUAAGACAGAUAUGAAUGGAGUUGGAACAGGAAUUAUACGGGGAAGUUAUUAUCACUUUGCAACAGAAAAUUUCAAGCAGGUUUUUGGAGAUAUGGUAAUGGAGGUGAAGAAGCCAAGAAAUUUGAAGAAUGGGGUUCUGGUUUUUUUAAUUGCGGUGCUUGGAUUGUAUGCAUUUAGGUAUCUUAAGAAAAUAUAACAACCAACUCAUCUAUAAUCUCCUUGUGUAUAAACUAAUUUAAUGAAAUUUCAUUUUAUUUGUAUUUUAAUAAUGUAGUACUUACCGCAAAAGCUCGUUGUAGUUACAUGUUUAACUUGGUUAUUUUGAAGAAUAUAAUUUGUCUCUGAAUUGAAAAAAAAAAGAUGUGUAUGUUUUACAAAAUGAAAAAAAAAAAAUACCCAGACCUAAUUUAUAUAGAUUUAAGCGUAAAAUGAUCAUCGACCUGAAAAUUAAUACUCUAUAUAUAAUUUAUACCUUAAAAACUUGUAUAAAUUCCAUGUAAAUUAAACAAAAAUUGGCAAAAAAUAUAUAUAUAUAUAUUGUAGGAGUACACAGCGUAUACAUGAUUUUUUAAGGCCUAAAUCGAACCAAAGUUCCGUGCAAUCUAUUAAGAAUUAAGCGAAAUUUAGUUUAUGAUUCUUGUUGAAUUUUAGUUUUUAACUAAAAAUAGAAUCGAAAUCGUACUAUACCCAUAUUAUAUCAAAAUUGAAUCAAGAAUUAAUUUUAUAUAUAUAUAUAUAUAUAUAUAUAUANNNNNNNNNNNNNNNNNNNNNNNNNNNNNNNNNNNNNNNNNNNNNNNNNNNNNNNNNNNNNNNNNNNNNNNNNNNNNNNNNNNNNNNNNNNNNNNNNNNNNNNNNNNNNNNNNNNNNNNNNNNNNNNNNNNNNNNNNNNNNNNNNNNNNNNNNNNNNNNNNNNNNNNNNNNNNNNNNNNNNNNNNNAUAUAUAUAUAUAUAUAUAUAUAUAUAUAAUAUUUUAAGUAUAUUAUUAAUAUUACAUAACAAUCGCCUAAAAUAAGUCAUGAGUUAUCACCACCAAAUAGAACCAUGUGGUAAGAGUUGGACAAAGCGGGUGUGCGGUCCUGCACAAGGAUAAAAAAACUCGAACACUGUUACAAUCUAUUUUUUAUCAAGACUCGUUCUCCUCCGAAGAGGUCGAGUCUUCACAUGAAACUACUGUUAGCAAGCACAAUUUAGUAGACUCUCGUUACAUCUGUAAUCACAAGAUCACCGACCAAUUAAAUCGGCGAGAUCCCUUAUCGAAGAGCCGGCCACAUCAUUAUCGGAUUAUAAGAAAAUACUAUAUUUAACUCGUCAUCUUACAGUAUAAAAGUCAAUGAUCACAGAGAUAAAAGCACAUAUUUCUUACACAACUAUGUUUGAGUCCUAAAAAAUUCCUUACACUCACCCUAUUCUCUAGUUUACUAACUUGAGCGUCGGAGUGGCUGCCGUAAACGCCAAUUACCUCACUUUCUCUUUUUUUGCAAGUUUAACCAAUCAUAGUAUAACUCUAUUUUUCAGUUACAUCAUUUGAUUUAAUUGCCGAGAAAUCCAUUGAAUCAUUUCUAUUCAUUUGGAUUAAAACCAGUCUCUUAAUCCUUUUCUCUGAGAAAGAAAUCUCUCCCGUCUUUUUUUUGUAAUGGCUAGAACUUUUCGAACUACUGCUAAGGUUGCUAGGUGAGGUUAAUGCUUCUAAGCUGGUCCUUGAGAAUCGGGCAAAGACUGCCAAUGAUCAGGCGGCCCUACUAUAUCACCAAGUCCUGGAACUACAGACUCAAGCUAAGGAGGCCCAAGCCACCUCUACCAAGGUUGUUGAGUUUGAGGUAGAACUCAGGAGACGGUCGUCUAGGGUGGGAAGAUGUUCGUAUAAAGCCAAGACUUGGUCAAGAAGGAACUGGUGAAACGGUUUCCCUCUGAAGACUUUAACUAGAUAGACGAUAUCUUCCCAGAUAAGGAGGGAGGUGAGACUGAUGAGGGGGAGGGACAAGCUGAGAACAAUCCCAAUAAUCGAAUUUCUACUGAUAAUAUAAUAAAUAUAGAGAAUACCGAUGUAAUUGUAAUAAAGACUCAAGAGAAGAAACCUAGAGAUAUCCCCCUCUUAUGUAAUCUUUUAUGACCUUAAUGAAAAUAUUUUCUCAUAUCUUAUUAUUCUUUUCAUUGAGCGUUUACAUGCCAUGUCCUCAUUCACAACCCUCAUCUAACCAUCGUCAAAACAAGACUUAGAUAAUUUUAAAAAAUUGCUAAGGGGUCAACCCCAAUAAAAGAACCUAGUAAUCAUUACCUUUGUAAAAGAAAAAAAAAUCAAGGUCAUUAACAGGACAUGACACCUGACCACCGACCUAACUAGCAGCCUCCUUUUAGCUACAGUAAGACGGGACCAACACUCGGUCAUUGGGUCUGGCAAAUACCCGCCCUGUAGCCUUGGCAUAAAAUGCCUUAAAGAAUUUAUAUAAAAGUGAAGCUAACAUUCAAUAAUUGAGCCUAGCGAAAUCUGCCUCAUGGCUUAGUGCGAAUGCCUUAGUUAGUGGGACCAACGGUUAAUUCUUUGAUCUGGCUUACACUCGCCUUGUAGCCUAACCUGACGAAACCCGCCUUAUGGCCUUAAUUAGUAGGACCAAUGUCCGGAUUAUGGUCUGACGGAAUCUGUCUUGCAACCUGCCUUGGCAGAACCCGCCUUAAGGGCUUGAUUAGUGGGACCAAUGCCCGGAUUGUGGUCUUGUGGAACCCACUUUGUGACCUGUCCUGGCAAAACCCGCCUUGUGGCCUUGAUUAAUGGGACCAACGCCCAGAUUGUGGUUUGGCGGAAUCCACCUUAUGAUUUGACCUCGCAGAACCCAUCUUAUAGCCUUAAUUAGUGAAACCAAUACUCGAAUUGUGAUCUGGCGAAACUCGGCUUUUGAUCUGACUUAAUGGAACUCGCCUUGUGGCCUUGAUUAGUGGGACCAACGCCCGAAUUAUGGUCUAGCGGAACUUACCUUAUGGCCUGACCCGAAAGAACUCGCAUUGUGACAUCUUCUUAUCUCAAACUUUUUCGAAAAGACAAUCUCAUCGUUCCUUAACACUGAAAAAAACAUAUGAAAAAAUACCUCGUUAACUUAUUAUUAAUAAAAUUUUAUCAGAUUAGAGGUAUUCCAGGAAUGAAAAAUGACUUGACUAUCUAAUUUAGCCAGCUUAUAAAAUUCUGGGCGGAUGACCUGUGAGACCCUAAAUGGUACUUUUCAGUUCUCGUCUAACUUACUAAACUCGAUACUGCCAUUUGUUAAAUUAAAACUGAUUGACUUGUCUAAUUUCAAAUUUGACCAAUCCAACUUCAAUUCGAUUCAUGAUUCAAACCUGUCCAUGACUAAAUCUAUGCCUCGAGUUACAAUCGUUUAGUUUUUUUCUCUGUUGUUUUGGAUUUGCUCCUUCUUUAUAUUAAAAAUAAUAUUUUAUUUUAUUAAGUUCAACAGUCUCAUUAAAAAUAUUAAAACAAAUUGAUAAGUGACACUUCGUACUAACAGCAUUUAUAAGAUCAUCAAGCCAUUUAACUCUAAAAAAGGAUUUAAUAAAACUUUACAUUAAGAUUUUUGAAAUUUAAAAUAUAUUAUUAAAAUAAUAAAAAAUAAAAAAAUUACGCAUUACAAGUAUAAUAUAACUCGUAUAUAUUGUAUAGCUAAGCCAUUAAAAAAUGGCUUCUCCAAACUUUGCUCCAUAACUUAAUGAGGAUGUUGAAAAUGUUGUCACAUGGCAAAUUCUUCUUUAUUCUUAAUAUUUUUUGUAUUUUUUAAUGUAAAAUUAUGUUAUUUUAUGAAAUAUUAAUUUUAUGUAAAAUUAAAUUUUGAAGUAAAAAUUAUUAUCUCAUAAAAUUAGUUAUUUAAAAUUUCAUUUAUUUUUAAAAUAUUCCUUAUGAAAAACAUUAUCUAUAAAAAUAUUCUCACUAAAAAAAUUUUCUUUCUAAUAAAAAUCUUAUUUUUUAUUAUUUAAUUUAAUUUAAAAAUAAAAUACAUUAAUAAAUUUACAUAUAAUGAAAUUAAUAAAAUUUUUAAAAUGUAGAAAAUAAUUUGAUCCUCUAAAAAGAGGAAGUUUUUUUUUUUAAACUAAUUAAAAUUUUUUUAUUGAAAAAAUAUUUUUUAUUAAUUAAAUUUUUAUAAAUAUUUUAAAUAUUAAAAAAUAUGAAAAAUAUUUUUAAAAAAUAUUUUCUAUAAAAAAAAAAAGCGUAAAAUUAAAAUGGAUUUACUAACAUCAGCUACUUCACAGAAUGAAAAGUAACAGUUUUCGUUCUUGUAUCCUGUAUUUUCAUGCUAUCAAACAUUAAGAUUAGUUAAACAUUUUCCAAUGUCAAAUUUUAUAUUAUAGAAAACUCUUCUUUAUUAAAAAAAUUUAAAAUUUGUAAUAUGAAAUUAUACUCAUUAUAUAUAUAUUAGAUUUAUUCAAAUGCCGAUUAAAUUAUACUCAUUUUAUUUGAAUUAUUAUUUCUAAUAACUACUUUUCAAAAUCUUAAAACUUUUCUUAAUAGUUUAUUAUUUAAAAACUAUUAUAUUUUUUUUCUUACAAAAUAUAAAAACUAUAUAUAUAACUAAUAUUAUUAAAAUAUAUUAGUAUUUAUAUGUAAUGUAAACUAUUUUUUUUUAUGGUUUUACUAUAUUUUUUGAAAUAUAAUUUUUAUUAAUCAAAUUCAGAAAAAACUUAACAUAAUGGAUUCAUACCGACUCAUAUCAACGUGUCGCCUCAUUAAACCUAACCUACGAUUCAAAGGCCUUAUUUGGUUGAGGUAAAUAAGUUGGGAAAGUUGAAUUUAUCAAGAAAGUGUAAAAAGCUCCUUUGUUUGGUUUGCACUAUUAAAAUAACUUACUGGGAAGUGGAGCAUUUUACUUCCUUAGUUAAGUGUAAAGGAAGUUACAAAUUUAUCCUUUAAUUUAUUACACUUUAUCAAGGAUAUUAUUGUCUUUUAAACUAAAAAACAAACUUAUUUCUUAAAAAGUUAUUUUGUAUACCAAACAUACUAUGUUUUUAUCAUACACCCUGAGAAGUAAAUUACCUGGAGGAAAUAGAUCAUAUUGAACCAAACAAGGCCAAAAUGUUAAGUGAAAAAACCUGAAAAACAACAGAAGAUAGGAUAUUACUCAAAAAAUCAGGACAAAAACACCAGAGGGUGGGACUAGCUUCCUGGCUAACAAAUAGGCAGCAGUAUUUGCUUGUCGCCUAAUCCAAGAUAAGGAUCAAUCAGACCUUUGUUGAAACAUAUACCUACAAUCAUGGACAAGGUGACUAAAUUCUGACAUAUCCUCUUUAACAAAUAGGACAACAUCAACCACAAGUUUUGAAUCUAAUUCAAUAUUGACAUGACUUAAAUUACAGUUAGAAAGCCAAAAAAGAGUUGCACGUAGAGCUUGUACCUCAGCUAUCUUGGAUUGAUUACUACCUCAAGAGUGCCCAAAACAAGCCGAAAUAGACAUGUCAGAGUCAUUACGAACAAUAGCACCAUAACUAAUAAUACUAGAAAGAGAAAACAACUCCUGCAUUCAUAUUACAUUUAAGUCUCCCAAAGCAACAUACCAUUGAAUGUUCAAAGGAGGAUUAAGAGUAGAAUUCACUGCACUUGAUUGUAGCUGAGUAUCUUCCCAAACCAACAAUAGCUCCUCUGUAGAACGAACAAUCCUUUGAAAAACAUGACUCUUUCCAUUCCAUAAAUAAUUGUUCCUGUUGUUCCAUAAGGUCCAAAAAAUCAUACAUACUCUUCCCUGUAAAGAGGUAUUAGAUAAACCCAGUAUAAACUAAAAUAAAUCAGACAUGUUAGAAAUAGAUUGUAAGGGAAUAUGCAUAUCCACAAUCUGCAGUAGCUCUAGAUCAAAAAAGUAAAACAUGAGGAUCGUCUUCUACCAUGCCACACAUCUUACAACCUGAACUAACAUUCAAACCUCUAUCAAUUAGAUUCACAUUGGAAGGAAGGAUACCUCGUAAAGCUCACAACAUAAAGUUUCUAACCUUUGGUGGUACAUGCAACUUCCAUAACUUGUACCAUGAACCCUAGAUUCUCCUAAAGACCGGAUAAUAAAUGAUAACCUGAUUUAACAGAAUAUAUUCCAUUUUUUGUAUAGUGCCACACAAGAUUAUCAAUUUGCCUAGAGAAACUUAAAUGAAUAUGAGAAAUACAAUCCACAUCACUAGGCAAUAAGAGAUUAGAUAAUAAUUGUAGGUUCUAGCCUGUGCUAUUCUCAUUGAUCAAACUCGAGACCCUAAAAUCUUCCAAUCCCUCAAGACAUGGGCUGUCCACAAAAAAGCCAUUAUCCUUAUUAAGCCGUGGAUCACCCCAAACUUUGAUCAUUUGUCCAUUUCCUACUCUCCACCUGUUACCAAAAUUCAACAAAUCCUUGCCCUGCAAAAUACUCUUCAAGACAAAAUUUGGGUUAGACCCUUCAGUUGCAUCUAGAAAAUCCAUUCUAGGAAAAAAUUUAGCUUUGAGUAUACAAAAAUGAAAAUAGUCUUGAUUGGAAACUAAUCUCCAACCUUGCUUGAUAAGCAUAACUAAAUUAAAGAAUCUAAGAUUUCGAAAACCCAAACCUCCCUUAUCUUUACUAAGACACAUCUUAUCCCAUGAUAAUCAAUGAAUCCUUCUUUUAUCCUGACCUUGAGAACCCCACUAGAAGGAGUUUAUCAUCCUUUCCAAUUUGUCACAUAAGGAGACAGGUAUAACAAACAAACUCAUGACAUAGAAGGGAAUAGCUUGGGUUAUAGAUUUAAGUAAAAUUUCCUUAUCAGCUUCAGACAAAAUUUUGCCAUUCCAACAUUUAACCCGUUUCCAUAGUCUAUCUGUCACAGGCCCUAGUUUGUAAACGGGUAAGGGGUCUUUGGUCAGGUUGGAGGGAGGAAGAAGAAGGGUGUUUAUCCUUUUUUUCUACCUAUUUUGUAGACUUGAGAGAGAAUCUACAAUCUCUUGAGUUAAGUACUCAAAAACUGGGUUAAAUUUUUCUCCUUAUUCAAAAAACAGAAACAAACAUCUCCAAUUAAGGAGGGAUUAUCAACUAUCUUGAGGAUUAUCCUCCUAUUUCUACUCAACAAAAUAAAUAAAGAAUAAAAAUAUUAACAAGAAAAUAAUAACAGCAGCAGCACAAAUUAGUUGCCGGAUUUGUUCUUUACUCUCCAUUUGACUGAAUCUUCUUAGGUCCAUGGGUGAACCGUUUGUAGUGCUUAAGGCUAGUAACAUUACUCCCUCCGCUGACAUUGCGAUUGUCCUCAAUCGCGAAAUCUGGAAAUCGUUGAGACAAAUCAGCGUUAGUUUCCCAAGAAGCAUCUGCUGGUGAAGAAUGUUGCCAAUGAAUUAAAACUUCAGAUUUCCCAGCUCUGGUUUGAUGACCCAAAACUGCUUGAGGCUGAGGCAUUGCAGACACAGGUUCAAUGAGAGGAAGGGAAGGACGAUCAGUAGAGAACCCUGCAAUAUAAGCUUUUAAGGCAGACACAUGAAAUACAGGGUGGAUUCGAGCAUCUGUUGGUAAAUCCAAUUUGUAAGCCAUGGUUCCUACGCGCUGAAUGAUUCUAAAAGGGCCAUAAUAUUUCGGCAAAAGCUUCUGAUGACGCCUAUUGGCCAUUGAAACCUGUCUAUAGGGCUGUAGGCGAAGUAGGACCAUAUCCCCAACCUGAAAUUCCAGUGGACGGUGCUUUUUAUCAUAAACUGCCUUCAUUUUAGCUUGUGCCCGAAGUAGGUGCUGCCGAAUAGAACCCAAAACUUCAUCUCUGGUUUGGAGAGCUUGGUCAACUGCAUCAAUCAUUGAACUUCCAGGAGCAUAAGAUAGUAAACGGGGCGGCUGUCUACCAAAAACCACCUCAAAAGGAGUGGCAUGAAGUGAUGUGUGGUAACUAGUAUUGUAACAAUACUGUCCCCAAGAAAUCCAGUCCAUCCAUUUGGUUGGAUGUGCACUAGUGAAGCAUCGGAGAUACAUUUCAACUGUUCUAUUAACCACCUCGAACUGCCCAUCCGUUUGUGGGUGAUAAGCAGAACUAAAAGCAAGUUUAGUGCCACACAAACGAAACAAUUCAGCCCAAAAAGAGCUAGUAAAAGUUACAUCACGAUCGCUAACCAUGGACACCGGAAUCCCAUGUAUCUUGACAAUAUUAUCAAAAAACAGACGGGCAACACUCACAGCAGUAUAAGGAUGCGAAAGGGGCAAGAAAUGAGCAAACUUAGAGAAGCGAUCCACCACAACUAAUAGAACAUUUUUCCCUUUGGACAUGGGCAGCCCUUCGAUAAAAUCCAAAGAAAUAUCUGACCAAAUUUGGGAGGGAACUGAUAAUGGUUGUAGCAGCCCUGCAGGUAAAAGGUUUUCUGUUUUGUGACGCUGACAAAUGUCACAGGCACGGACAAAAUCACGCACAUGGGUCUUCAUCCCCUUCCAGUAAAAGUCUCUUGUAAUUCGAAACAAGGUCUUUUGAUACCCCUCAUGGCCCUGAUUAUGAAUGGCAGAAAUAAUAGCUUGAAUAGAUGGAGAAGAGGAAGGCAAAAAAACCUUGUUUUUGAAGAGCAGUAACCCAUCUGUUAGACACCAAGAAUUUGCAGCAGAGUUGUGCUGGACAAGAGAGACCCGCUGCUGAAUUUCGGAGGAAGUUUGAUGUUCACGUCUGAUUUCCUCAAAAAUUCCAACUUGUGGCAUUGAAAUGGCCAUAAGAGCAGCUGAAUCUUCUUCUCGUCGCAAUAAAGCAUCGGCCACUGUAUUCAAACGCCCAGACCUGUACUCAACUGUAAAAGAGAAACUCAAGAAUUUACUGAGCCAUUUCUGUUGGAUAGGGGAUAAUAGUUUUUGUUCUAACAAAAAUUUGAGACUGUAAUGGUCUGUGCGAAUAAGGAAGACACGUCCCCAUAGAUAAGAAUGCCAGUGUUUGACGGCUUUAACCAACCCAAUUAAUUCUUUCUCAUAAGCUGGAAGGGAGCGGUGCCUGGCUGCCAUCAUUCGACUGAAAUAGGCUACAGGUCUGCCAUUUUGCAAGAGGACAGCCCCUAUACCAGAAUCUGAGGCAUCACACUCCACAAUAAAGGGUUGAGCAAAAUCUGGAAGAGCUAAUACAGGGGUGGUAGUCAUCAAUUCCUUAAGCUUGUUGAAAGCUUGCACUGCUUCGUCUAUCCACUGAAAUGAUUUAUGUCGCAACAUGUUUGUAAGAGGAGCUGCAAUAAGUCCAUAAUUAUGAACAAACUUGCGGUAGUACCCUGUCAAACCCAAAAAACCACGAAGUCCUCUAACUGUUUUAGGCUGUGGCCAACUGAGCAUAGCCUGGAUUUUUGAUGGGUCUGCAUGUACACCUUCAGAAGAAAUCACAUGCCCCAAGUAUUCUAUCUGUGAUUGGGCAAAGGCACAUUUGGAUUUUUUUAAGAAUAACUGCUGAUUUUGCAGUACCUCAAAAACAAUCCGAAGGUGAUGGAGAUGCUCAAUCCAUGUUCUGCUAUAGACAAGGAUAUCGUCAAAAAAAACAAGAACAAACUUUCUUAGGUAUGGCUGAAAUACCUCGUUCAUAAGUGCCUGGAAAGUGGAUGGUGCAUUCGUAAGGCCGAAAGGCAUGACCAGGAAUUCAAAGUGGCCAUGGUGAGUGCGGAAUGCUGUUUUCUUGAUAUCUUGCAGAAACAUGAUAAUAGCCAGCAACUAGAUCCAACUUUGUGAAAUACCUUGCUCCUCCCAAUUCUUCAAAUAAUUCAUCUAUUACAGGAAUUGGGAACUUAUCUUUAACUGUAUGAGCAUUCAAUUCCCAGUAAUCCACACAAAGUCGCCAUGAACCGUCUGCUUUGGGAACAAGGAUUACAGGUGAUGAAAAAGGGGAUUGGCUAGGUCGAAUAAUUCCCUUCUUCAACAUCUCAGCACACUGUCUCUCGAUCUCAUCUUUCUGGCCAUGAGGGUACCUGUACGGCCGUACCACAACUGGUCUGGUGCCCGGUUCCAAAGGAAUUCGGUGAUCACAGAAGCGGCUUGGGGGAAGAGCUUUAGGUUCUUUGAAGAUGCCGGAGAAUUCGGUGAGAAGGUGUUGUAAUUGGGUUUCGACAUCCGGGAAGGAAGAGACUGAAUUUAGGCUUACGGGUUGUUUAAUGGCAAGAUUUUGGAUUCCCUGUAAUUCGAUAUUGGUGCCUGAAAUAGAGAAAGCCAUUCGCAUAAUAAAAAAAUACCAAAGAAUGGGUCCCAGAGUUUUUAACUAGCUGACUCCCAGUACCACAUCAAUACCGCUUAGAGGAAGGACAAAAAGGUCUAUUCCAAAAGGGUGGCCCCCCAUCUGUAACUCUGAAUUGCGACAAACACCAGAACUGAAUAUCUGUUCGCCGUUUGCAACUCGAACCCGAAGUCCGUCUUUCUUUUCAAUCUUCGGAUCCACCUGUUUAACAAUAUUGGCAGCCACGAAAUUGUGAGUACUACCAGAAUCUAUGAGAACGAGAACAGAUUUACCAUUCCAUUCAGCCAUCACACGCAUAGUUUGAGCAUUGUGGGUUCCUGUAAUCGCAUUCAAAGAGAUUUCUGGUGAUUCUUCGCCGGUGUCCAUGUCACUUUCACCAUCAUCAAGUUCAAUCCAAAAUAAUCUUUUGCAUUGAUGACCCCGAGAGAAGGGUUCAUCACAGUUAAAGCAAAGAUUUUUCUUUCGCCGUUCCUCCAUCUCUGCUGGACUCAACCGCCGAAUACUUCUGUUGCCCUUGGAUUCUAUAGGAGCCGUCACCGAACGAUUAGAAAACCGCGAUGGUAAUGGGGUUCUUUUCUCAUAUAACCGAGACAUGCUCAUAGCAGUCGCUAGAUCAGUUGGUUGAUGUAAUUCCACUUCCACUGCAAUGUGGUCUUUUAAGCCACUGAUGGUCUUUUGUUAGUUUUCCUGCUCGGGGAACUAGAAUCUCAAAUUGUGUCUAAUAAUCUGCCACUGAACCCACCUGCUUCAAUUUGGCUAACUCUCCCAGUUUAUUACUGCGGACUGGUGGUCCAAAUCAAAGGUUACACUGUUGUUUAAGCUCUUCCCAAGUGGGAUUUGGGUUUUCGUCGAAAAGCUCAUUCAGCCAAUACUGAGCAUUUCCCAUUAGAUGGUAAGAAGCUAGAGUAACCUUUUCCUCUUCCGGCGUGUUCUGGUGUUUGAAAAAAUGCUCACAUGGUUGCAGCCAGGCUAAGGGAUCCUCUUCGCCACUGAAUUUGGGAAAAUCCAGUUUACUGAAUUUUGGAAGGAUUGAUGAGCCUUCGAAUGUACCUGAAAUGCCUUUGUUUCUAGAAGGCCGAAUUUGACUGCUGGCCUCAACAUCUGGUCCAGAAUUAGAGUUAGAAACAUCACGGGCAAUGGCUUCUAAUUUUGCGUUCAUCUCAUCUUGCCGGUUCUUGUUGUUUGCUUGUUCUUCCAAGAACAUUGAAAGGAUUCGAUCCAGCUGUUGUUGAAUGGUUUCACCCAUUACACCUGGCUCUGAUACCAAGUUUUCACAAGCCCUGGUUGGAGGGAGGAAGAAGAAGGGUGUUUAUCCUUUUUUCUACCUAUUUUGUAGACUUGAGAGAGAAUCUACAAUCUCUUGAGUUAAGUACUCAAAAACUGGGUUAAAUUUUUCUCCUUAUUCAAAAAACAGAAACAAACAUCUCCAAUUAAGGAGGGAUUAUCAACUAUCUUGAGGAUUAUCCUCCUAUUUCUACUCAACAAAAUAAAUAAAAAAUAAAAAUAUUAACAAGAAAAUAAUAACGGCAGCAGCACAAAUUAGUUGCCGGAUUUGUUCUUUACUCUCCAUUUGACUGAAUCUUCUUAGGUCCAUGGGUGAACCGUUUGUAGUGCUUAAGGCUAUUAACACUAUCUUUAAAAAGAAAAAAAAAACGCUUUUUUUACUUCUACCAAUUAAAAAAGUCAAACCUAAAUAUCUCCCAUGAUCCAGAGGAUUAGUAACACCUAAAACUGAGCAAACAUAGGCUUUGUUGUCACUAGUGCAAUUGGAACUAAAGAAGAUACCUGAUUUGUUAAAAUUAAUGGCUUGACCAGAAGCACGCUCAUAAGUCACCAGGAUUUCAUUCACAUACCCACUUUCCAAAGCAUCUGCUUUAAAAAAUGAAAAACUAUUAUCAGCAAAUAACAGAUGUGAAACUGUAGAAGCCCUAGGACAUACCGUGUUCCAUAAAUUAAACCUCGUCGUUCAGCAUUGUGGAAAAGAGCUGAUAAGCCUUCUGAAUAUAAUAUAAAUAAAUAAGGGCUUAGAAGAUCCCCUUGCCUCAACCCUUUUUCAGGUACAAUAGGACCUAAUUCAUCACCAUUCAAAGCGACAUUAUAUCUAACUGUAGAAAUACACAACAUAAUCAAAUCAACCCAUCAAUUACUAAAAUCCAACUGUAUCAUAACAAAUUUAAGAUAGUUCCAAUCAUCUGUAUCAUAUGCCUUGCAAAUAUCAAUUUUAAGAGCCACCUCCCCUUCCUUCCCCCUUGUUUUCCUUUUCAUACAAUGAAUAAGCUCAAAUACCAUAAUAACGUUGUCUAUAAUCAAUCUACCAGAUACAAAUGCAGGCUCAGAAGGAGAAAUAAUACUAGGUAAAAGUCAUUAACACCUAUAUCCCAGUACCAGGAAAAGCACCAUAACUAACAUCUUCACCAACCGAGGACCCAGUAUUGUCCCGAAGCCAUUGAUUAUGUUUCACCCUUGAUUGUCGAGCCAUCUUCCUUAGCCAAGAACCUCAUCCUUUCGGCUCAGCCAGACUAGCUCCCUCAAACAACCUGUUACAUAAUUUUUCAUUGUGGCCCAAUGGACCACAAAGAAAACAAAAGAUUGGCAGCCUUUCGUAUUUGAAUUACACAACAAAGGAUUGAUUACCAUGAAUAACCACACGUUUUGACCUCUUGAGCAGCAACCUCACAUCAAUUGCAACUCUAACCUGCAUGAAACUUCGCCAGCUUCCACCAAUACUAGUUGUAUCAUAAUCCACAAACUUGCCCACAAAAUUGCCCAACAAAUAUGCCGUAUACGAUGUUAUAUAACCAGGUGGCAAAUUGUGCAUUGAAUCCAAAAGAGAGCCGAAAACAGAGGAACUUCCAUCGAAAUUCUCCUGGCUGAAGAAGAUGGGUCACCAGUAGGUGAUUACUAAACGACCAAGGACCACCAUCAAUUACCCGUUGCAAAUCGACCUGGUUGAAGAAUUAAAUCCAGUAGAGUUUCGACCCCAAUUCUUUGAAGAACACUCCUCGGCCCAGACGCUAGAGAUUUGACAGUGUGGCUUUCAUAGCAUUGAAAUUGAUUUGCCAAUCUAUUAGAAGCUUACCUAUAAUAGUAAACAGAAUCAUCGUCGUCCAGCCGCAGCUUUGUAUCGUCGUCGUCCAGGUUUUAAGUUCGCGAAAGACUCCAUCGCAGAGAGAAAACUCGUUACUAAGAACGAGAGAGAAACCUUUCCAAUACAGAAGACUCUGAUUGCAC